RNAcentral lists this long non-coding RNA (47589 nucleotides) under Linum usitatissimum (flax). RNAcentral describes it as "long non-coding RNA (LUSI_LNC008168)". The record is from RNAcentral. Lineage: Eukaryota; Viridiplantae; Streptophyta; Magnoliopsida; Malpighiales; Linaceae.
UGAAGAAGAAGAAGAAGAAGGAAGAGACGUAAGGAGGAGGGCAGAAGCAACCAACCCGAAUAAUGAUGUCGGUAAGUCCAGCUGAAUACACCAAUCAAUCAUUAAUCAACAAUUACUCACUUUCAUCCCUCCAUCACUAUCAACUUCUUUAUUAUUAAUUCACUGCUUUUCUUUCGUCGUCGUCGUCUUCUUCUUCUUCUUCUUCUGUAUACACUUAGGUAGUAGUAUACGCACAUAUUAAAGCACCAUAUGAUAUAUAUAAUCAGAAAAGCAUAUCAGAUGAGCGCAUUUAGUCAACUUCUCUCCAAUCUAAUCAAUGAAUUCUGGAAAUUAUUUAUUAAUUAACACCCCCCACCUUUGAAUUGAUUAAUGUCGGUGUUCCAUCCAAGGCCACCCUUCCACUAUUUGUAUCGUCAUUUCUUCCUACAGAAGCCAUCGUGUUUGUUCUUUUGUAUUAAUUUAUGCAGCAGAGGCUAUAUUGUCAUCAACCCACAAAUAGUACUGGGAGCAGCAGAGUUGACGGAAGAUAUUAACUUAUUAGGAAUGAUAGACAUCAUUACUGUUCAAUUACAUUUCUCUGGAACAAGAAGAGAGAAAAUAACCAUCAGAUCAAUUGUGGGAGAUGAUCACUUUACUUACUGCUCCCUUUCUGGCAGAACCCUCCCAAAUUAUUACAAUUUCAUCCCCCCAGCAUUUAUCACACUUUCUCUAAUCAAUUCCUAUAAUUGUAUUCCACAUCACUAAUCUUUUUUUCAUAUUCAUAAACCCCCCCAAAAAAGAAAAUAAAAAGAAGACGUGUAAUUGUGAUGACGAUCGAUGAUAAUCAUGGUGCUGAAUUUUCUUGUAAUAAUAAACAGUCUUGACUGAUGAUGGAUGAUUUUAGUAGUAGAAGAAGAUGCCCAAGGCCUCCAUGGGGUCAUGUUGAUGACUUGUCCACCACCUCACCUGUUUCCUUCUUUACCCUCGUCUUCUCCCCGUAAUAACCAACGUACCACUUCACGAACUUCCUCAACCCGCUCGCCAAAUCCGUCGUCGGCUUGUACCCGAAAUCCCUGAACGCCUGGCUCACGUUCGCGUGGGUGAAUGGAACGUCGCCGUUUCGAGGCAUCGUUACCACGUGCUUCUUCGCCUUCUUGCUCAGUAGCGCCUCCAAUAUCGACACCAGCUGCCCCACCGGCACCGGCGAUGUGUUCCCCAAGUUGUAUACCCUAAGCUGGGCUGCCCCUUUCUUCUUCCCUCCGCUUCCCGUGCUCUUCUCCGCAGUGUCCAGAGCCCCUAAGCAUCCCUUCACCACGUCGUCAAUAUACGUGAAGUCACGCGCCACUUGCUUCCCUUCCUGAGUCUCGUACACAUCGAUCGAUUUCCCGUUCAGGAUGUCCUUGGUGAAGAAGAAGUAAGCCAUGUCAGGGCGUCCCCAGGGGCCGUACACCGUGAAGAAUCGGAGUCCGGUCAGGGACAAUCCGUAGAUGUGGUUGUAGGUGUGUGCAAUUUCCUCUCCGGCCUUCUUCGUGGCGGCGUAGAGGCUCGCCGGCCUGUCGGUGCGGUGGCUCUCGGAGAAAGGGACAUUGGUGUUCAGACCGUAGACGGAGCUGGAGGACGCCCAGACGAUUGCCGGCUGCGGAUUGGCUGCCUUGGCAACUUCCAAGAGGUUGAUGAAUCCGGCAAUGUUGGAGCUGAUAUAAGAUUGGGGAUUCUGCAUCGCGUAGCGGACUCCAGCUUGAGCAGCUAAGUGGAGGAUGUGAGAGAACGGGACGACGUCGAAUAGCUUGGUGAGAAGCGGACCAUCGUUCAGAUCCCCUUCUACGAUGAACACCUCGUGCUUGAGCAACAUCUCCUGGCGAGAUCUCUUGAGCGAAGGAUCAUAGUAGCUGUUGAAAUUGUCGAGGCCGAGAACUCCAUCGCCUCGCUUCCUGAGCGCGAGGGAGCAAUGACUUCCGACGAAUCCGGCAGCUCCAGUAACAAGGAUGGAGAAUCCGUUGGGGCGGCGAGGAGUGGAGGAGCGACGGACCUGUUUCUCCCAAGCGGAUCCGCCAAUUGCGGAGGAGGAGGAAGUGGAAAAGGAAGAGGAGAAAAAGCUGCCGCCAGUGGAUAAGAAGCUGUGUCGGUGAAUUGUGGAGUCGGAAUGGAGGCGGUGGUGGUGGGAGAGGUGAGGGUAAUUGAUGGUGAAGAAGAGAAUGAGGAGGAGAGCAAUGAGUAGAGUAGCGCGAAAGAGGAGCUUGGAGGAGGCGUUUAAGAGCUUAGUGCUCUGUAUCCGGCGCAAGUAGCUGUUGUAGCGCUCUAGCUUGAUUGUCUUGCUGGUGUCAGGUGGGGAGGCCAUUGUUAGUGGGAAGGUAGGUAGAGAGGAGCAGAGCCCUGAAAUUGAGAAAAGUGCGGAAGGGGGGAAGGUUAUAAGAGGAAGGAGGAGGGAAAUGAUUAUUUUAUAUUAAGAGAAAAUAAAGAUAAUUAAUUUCUGAGCGAGUGAGAGCGUGAGAGAGAGAGAGAGAGUGUAUGUGUUAAUUUUGUGUAAUUACAAUUGGAUGGGGUUGUUGAAUGCUGACGGGUAUGUCAUUGUGGGAAAUGAAUACUUGGAUUCAUAUUCAAACACUUGGUGGGUUUAAUUUGAAAUGACCUUGAGACUUAGCUACUACUGCAUGCAUGACUGUAAUAUUGGCCAUUGGGUAGAGCAUUCACCAUCUUCUUUUUUUUUUUACGGUAUAUUGUGCUUCUUGCCUUUGCUAAGUGUUAGUUGCUGGGCUGGGUGUUCAGCAUUAGCUUCAAGGAAAGUGCCGACCUUCCUCCAUUAACAGAAUGAUAAUUCAGAAUAUAAAUAAAUAAAUGACAAGAAAUGAGACACAGCUAGCUACCCCCAUGUGACUUACACGUGUUCAGAUGUGAACAUCGUCUAAUUUUAUUUCUUGCCCAUUUCGUCAAUUUUUUCCACAUUUUUUAUCAAUAUAUCCACAUUUAUUAUUAUUAUUAUUAUUAUUAUUAUUAUCAUUAUUUUCCUACAUACUUUUUUAUUCCAUCUAACAGUGAACGCACUUAAUGGCUCUCAAUUCUCAUUACUCGCUACACAUUUGUCAUGUCAUUUUAAUCAAACACAGAUCUAUCCAUAACAUAAAUUCAUUAGGUAUAUAAGACUCGCCUUGUUCACGCCUUCGUAUUUGAGGUCCAUAUUUUACUUCAUUUUAUUCGUAUUUAAUAUGAAUAGAUUAAUAUAUCCGCAAUAAAAAUUUUAUUUAUAUUUUUUUAAAAUAAUUUUUUAUCAUAUUAAUCAUUGAUAGCAGUUUCAAAAUUUUGUUUCUUCGUAAAAAAAAUAUUGUAAGGUGUAGUAAAUAUUGUAUACAAAAACAUCACACCAAAAAGGAGGCGUCACACCAUGAACAAUAGUCGCGAGGUGAUGAGAGUGCCGAGCUAACUCGUGUGCUAACUCAUUCUUAUUUCUCCUAACACAUCACACUUUGUAAUUAGUGUUUUCCUAAAGUAAUCCUCUGCAUGCUGAAAUAGUAGUACCAAACUCCGAUAUAUCCGACUUCUCCCUCUCCUUCCUGGACGGUGAUGUUAAAUCUCCUCCGUUGCAUCAAGUAUUGGAGCACCUCACCGUUUGAGUCACGAACCACCAGCCCCACUCCAUAACUUCCAUCCAUCAUUGCGGUCUCCAUAUUGCAUUUAACAAAACCGUCACUCGGAGGGUGCCAAUAUGCACAGGGCGCCUGAUGUUGAGCGCUUGGUGACGAACAAUAGUCUCCGGUGUGCUCGACAUCCGCGUGAAGACUUGCUCCUUUCGCUCCCGCCACACACCCCAAAUAAUAGCAAAGGCCUGUUGAAUAUGAAAUUCGGCUCCGGACAUCACAACCUCAAAAAUCCAUUGUCUAAAGUCGUUGUUUGCUCCUUCCAGGCCCUCGAUCCACGUCGUUAAACCUCCCACUCUCCAACACUCACGAGCCAGGUCACAUGGCAAGAAAAGGUGAAGCAUUGAUUCCUCUGAUUCUGCACAACAUCCACACACAUCAUCCACCGCCAUACCUCGUCGUUGCAACGAUUUGCGGGUGGCCACUGCUUCUUUGAUCAAUCGCCAUACAAGAUGCUUGAUCUUCUGCUGCAUCAGAAGCUGCCACAUCUUCUUCCAUGCCCCCGCUUCCUGUAAUAAUUGAGUUGAUUCGUUCCGUUCCUUGAGUGCUCGAUAGGCUGGCCUGACAGAAUAUUGUCCUCGUUUCUCAUAUUUCCAAAUCAUCUUGUCGUCUUCAUCUCCCCUCGGCGGCGGCAUCUGCAUUAUCACCUGGCAGUCACGAUCACAAAACAGUAAAGUGAAUCAUCUCCUCAUUCCACUCCUGAAGGUAAAAGUGGAUUAUAGAAAUUAAAUUUGUGUGCACUAUUAUAUUGAUUUAAUUAUUUUUACAAAGUUGAUAGUAGUAUCGAAAAUUGUAGCCAGAGUAAUCUAAAAGUGGCUUAAGCAUAUAGAAUAAUAUUAAUUAAAUAUUGGUGUGGUGUGGAUAUGCAGGCAUGGGAGUCAAAGUUUAAGGAUUUGGAGCUACUCUAUAUAGUUUAGUGUUACUACUUACUUAUUAUUAUUAUUAUUAUUGUAGGAGUCAACAAAUUAAACCGUUUGUUGCUUUGUUUUUAUUUAAUUCUUCGUUUCCUUUGUGUUACUACCGACACACUCAAAGGGUAGAGAGAGAGAGAGAGAGAAUCAUGCAUAUGAUCCAUCAUUGUAGCUGUGCUUAGCACUAAUUUUUGUCAGAAUUGAAAUUAGUUAGUUUAAUAAAGUGUCAGGAUAUCAAUUUAGUUUAAAUUAAAAGUGAUUAAUAAAAAGCCAAGCUGUCUGUUAACUCUUUUUGGGCGGUAUUUCCACAUGGAAACCUUAAAUGUCUGAAUGGGCAACCCCCACAUGCCCAGAUGAUAACCAAGAUUCUGAGCUUACAGAUUUCUAAUUAAAUUCUCUCUCUUUUUAAUGCCCAGAUGAUAGCCAAAUACUUUAGAAUAUGCUCUGCAAUCCAAUGUUUAACACCCUUUUGACUCACUAAACCAUGUUUAGCUGCAAAACUAAAAGAAUUUGGUCAAUAGGAAAGCUUAGUGGCCCCUAGCAUUCAAUCAAUGUAGUAGUUGCCUUCAUCUCAAAGCUAGAGGUACGUACGACUUCUGGGAUCUUAUUUUCCCACAAGGAUAUGCAUGUCUAGGGCCAGCCAGGGGCAGCAAACGUCAGAGAAAUGGGGUAACUAUGUUUUCCAUUUGAAACUACUGUUUCCAAGUCUGUAGUACAAAACAAAUAAUAGUCCAAAUUGGCUCUCAUAAAAAAUUUGUGGUGUCUGUUGUGCUCUGCUAGCCUACUGUUUUAACUCAGCUGCCAUGGACAAGCAUACAAUUGGAAGAAAGGCAUAUGGCAUGUUUGAGCAAGGGUUCAAAUGAUUGCUCAAGUUUUGAUUCGUUAAUGAAUAUGUAACAAGACAGACCCUUUUUCUCACUGCCAGAAAUGGGGUUAGUCAUCACUUUGUAUUUUUGUUCCUUAGCUGUGAACCCUUUUUAUGAUCACCUGCCAGCAAAAACUUUGUUCUUGCUUGCUAUGGCUAUGGCCCCCUUUUAUUCACAUUCUGACACACAGACAAUCAUGGAAGGUGAAAAACAAUAACAAAGGAAACCAAACCGACAGAAAGAAAGAAAGAAAGAAACACAUGUAGUGUAUCUCUUUACUUUACUGCUGAAAGUAACAACAAAUAUUGUUAUCUGUAUACUGAUUUGGUGGACUUUUGCAUGGAUGGCGAACAAGAAGAGAAAGUGAAGAGAGGGUGGUGGUACUGGUUUGUUUGUUCAUCCUCCUCUUUUCCUUUUCACAAUUUAGCAGCCCAUGUGCCCACCAUGUGGCCUGUUGGCAAUUACGACUUGCCAUGGUUCAUGAUUAUGACAUUAUAUAUAUAGUUUCAUGAUCAUGACAUUCUAUAGAUCACCCUACUGAUAACCAUAGUUUUAGAGUUACAAAAUUAGCAGAAACUUUGACUUGUUAGUAGACUAACUUAGUCAUCAUUCAAAUUCCUCUCCCUCAGCAGCACAAAAAAGAACAGAUAUGAACAUAUAAACCUAACUAGAAGCCUACUUCAUUUAUGUUCUAUCUCAAAUUUGACUCAGUGCUCAGCAGAAUCUCACUUUUUUUCUGCUAUUGCAUAUUUGAGUGAUCUCGGUGGGGCUAUAGAAAGUCAUCAGGACAACCUGGUAGUUAGCUCUGGCCUUUACCAAAGGAUGGAUGGAUGGAUGGCCAUGGAGUCAAAUUUCCACCACUUGGAAUUGGAAUCACAAGAAUGCGGAAUAAGUGGGCCACGUGUCAUUUAAACAGAGGAUUGAAUCACAAGAAUGCAAGAGAGAUGCAAACACAGUAACAGUGUACAAGCCAAUAGACUUGAUAUCAUUUAUAAAAUGGACUCAUUUAGGAGAUACUAUUUAUCCUUCAAUAAUCUAACAAUGGAGGAAGGGUUCUUCUGGAACAUUAAUUAGAUGGACCCUUCAAUGCAGACAAUGAGGGGUUUGGCUACCAUUCUCAUAGGACACAACUUAUAUGCAACUGGACAAGGCAAAAUUCCAGGUUCUCAGUUCGUACUACAGCAGAAUGUAGGCUUUUUCUUUUAUGGUGGUGCAUAACUUCAAGGAACACUCCCACUUGCUUCAUCGGUACACUUCUUUGUGUCUGCGAGAUCUUUUAGUACCUAUUCGUACCAAGAGCAAGCAAAGCUUGGUUAAAACUUAAAACACAUGGGGUACAGUUUGAAGCUUUUGUACGAAGGCGAUAGAUUUUACCUACCUGGUAGAGUUUCCAAGAAGCGAAAGCAUCUGUAGCUGCGUAUUGUAUUUGCUUCUUUGUUAAGAAUUUAACUUCCCAGUUUCCAAGUCUGAUCUUUUUGGGCUUAGGAAGCUACAAAAAAAUGCCAUUCCAUUGCUGGUUAGAAUACCUUAAUGUUGUAUGUUGCUGAAGAAUGCAUAACGAAUUCUCAAUUGCAUCUUGCAGUAAUUUGUUAAAACUUACCUGUGACUAAAACGGGAGGAAGUACGAAUUCCCAGGUAAAGAAUAUGUAGGAAAAGGAAAAGUAACACAAGACAAAAUCCAUUGUUUCGUAAUGGAAUCAUCAUUGAAUAUGAACAAGUUCUGCUACAGAAUGUCAUAAUCUACACCACUCUUUCUCUCAAGGAGUUUUUGAAGUUCCCAUGACACUGUUGAAGAAUGGUGAGUUUGGAUGGAAGGAUUUGAAUUUGGAAUUUUAUAUACUAAUUUUUUAUGUCCAAUACAAAUAAGAAUAUGGAUUCGGUUUCGAUCAAAUAGACAAAUACUACAGGGGUAAAAAUUAAAAAAUGGCUAAAAAUGGAAAUAUGCUCAGAGUUUAUUUCUUUGUUGGAUGGGAAAUUUUGGUGCAGAAGUUUCGCAGGCAAAGCUUUGAUGCCGGAAUUCUACCGACAGAGCUCUGCCGUGGAAUUCUACUUGUAGAGUUCCACGACAAGAAUUGGAGCAGUCAGUGAGUUCAGCUGCCGGAAUUCUACUGGCGGAGUUCCACCGCCAAAGUUCUAAUCCUAGAAUUCUGACGCUGAAAUUCUACAUGUAGAGUUCCGCCAACAUAUCUCUGCAGCCAAAGUCCCGCUGGUAGAUAUCCGUGGCAAAAAUGGAAUCACACCGCCGAUAUUCUGACGCUAGAGUUCUACCAUGGGAGUUUCGCCACUGUAUUCCCACCGCUGGAGUUCCAUGACUGGAAUUCUGUCCUCCGGAUAAUACUGCCAAUGUUCUAUCAUCUAAGGUCCGCCUGCGUAAAUGUCGGUAGAUUUGUACGGCAAACUGGCAAAGUUCCGUCGUGGGAGAUCCAUAGACAAACUUUCUGUCAUUGGAGUUCUGUCCGUAGAUUUAUGCCAGCAAAGUUCAGCCACAGAAGUUCUUACUCUGCUAGAGUUCCACUGUUCCUAGAGUUCUGCCACGCUCUGGUUCCACCACCGCUGAAGUUCAAGUAGCGUUAGAGUUCAUCAGUCCCCGAAAAACUCUACUGUUGGAGUUCCGCUAUCGACUGCUGGAGUUCCGGUUGUUUAGUUCUGCUGCCACUAGAUUUACUGAUGAGAGUUCCACUGUCAUUAUAACUGUGCUCUCCCCCGUCCUCCAGAGCGCCUCUAUUGUUGUAGCUCUGCCACUGGCCAUCGGUGUUUCAUUAUAGUUGUGCUCUCGAAGUUUCUCCUCCGAAAAACUAAGUUAGCUAGAGUUUCUCCAUUGGAAGUUACCGGAGUUUUUCUGUUAAAAAUUGUCACUGGACCUACGUCGUUGCUGCCAGAGUUGUAGAUUGUGCUAUUUUACAAAAUUAUGUAUUGUUUGAUGAAGGUGUCUUGUGUGUAUAUAUUUGAAAUACAGACAAUAAAUUUUGGAUUCCAACACUAAAAUUUCAAUUUGAAUGAAUUUUUAUUGGAUGCAUUUGGAAUACCAAAUUCUGAUUCAUGUAUCCAAAAAUAGGUCAACAUUCCUGCCAGUGCAGUUCAUAUUGGGUAUGGAUGCGAACACGUAUUUAAACCAGAAGCUUUUUAUCCAUAAGAGUAUGAAACCAAGAAGGAUGUUUAAACAUAAUGAAAGAUUUGCAUAGAUACGCUCAACCAGAAGUUCUCCACGGAUCUAUCAACCCUUCUUAAACUCUACAUUUGUCAAUCACAAGGACAAUAGAAAGCUCUGUAAAGUGAAUUCCAAGAUAUAUAAACACAUAAAUCAGAGAUGGCACUCCAAGAUGGAGCACAGGAAUGCAUAGAAAUUCUUGUGCCAAUAGACAGGAAAAUAAGAUGCAUACCUCUUUCGAGACAAGCGUCUCGGCUAAAGCUGCAAGACCCCAUUUUUUUGGUUCUCCACCAAGCUUUUGAUUAGCUAGGCAGGAAAGGUCCUCCACAGCUUGAACAGAGACAUUAUAAUCUCUAAAAACCUUGGUAGAAUCAUUGCCAAUCCCAACACCAACCUGUGUGCAUCAUCCCAUAAAUAACAUGAAUCACAUUCCGCACAUUGCAAACAUAUACAACAAAAAAGAUGCAGAAUGCAGUAAUUGACAAUCUGUGGUACUUUUAAGAGUGUGUCAUCCUGAAGAAGCAGCCGUAGACUGGGAGUGAUUCCAGAAUGAAUAAUAUGCAUCACGUAGCAUUGGCCAACAUCUGCAAAAAGCUGCAUCACAGCAGCCUUACUGGGCAAAGCCCCUGUAGUAUAGAGGGUAGGUAAGGUUAAAGAUGCUAAUCAAUAAUCAUGGUGUCUCAACAGGACAUUGGACAUUAAUUGAGUUGAGUGAUCUGUGAAACCAACAUGCCUCUUUUGAAUGUUGGCUUCCACUCUAUAUCAAAACCAACAGCAACUUGGCCACUUGCUCCCCUUUUAGCUUCAAGGGUCCUAAGAAGCUCCCUCGCAUCCUUUUCCACUUCCAUUGAGGUCCUACUAUACGAGAUUCGGCCUCCGAAAUUGAUUGCAGGGUACCUCAUUUUUGUAUCAGCUGCAUGAUCAAGGAACCUCACAAACUCAUUUUUCUUCAAUAGAGAUAAGAAUUUAGCGAGAGCCCUAGAGAAAGGCCAUAAAUUCAAAAAUUCAUGCAAAGCUUCCCACUUUAUUUCAAUGAUACUAGAGAAAACGGAUCGUUCAACACAGAGCAUACAAUACAAGAGAGAAGGAGUUGCCUUUGCAAGGAGAAAGAGGAAACGGUGAACAGAGAUCAAGGACGGAGCUUGGCAAUCGGCGGCAGGGUCUUUCUUGGGUUCGUUCAUCUUGGCCGGUUGAAUCUUGUUCCUUAACUGAAGAGCCUGAGGUGGAGGAGGGAUUCAAUGAUAAGAAUGUAGCUUCUAUUACGUCAAUGGCUUCAAGAUCCUGCUCCGUCAAGGGCUCGUCUAAAUCUGGAACAGAGGGAAAAGGCGAGGAAGAACAGGAAAUUGCGGCGCUUCUCGAAGCAGAAUACAUUCUUCUACUACAACAACAACAAGUAUGUAUCUUCCGGAGUUCUGAUGACCUACGAGCCGCCGGUAAGGAUUGAAAAAUGGCGCUGAUAUUUGCUCUCAUUUCCACCACCGUCAGUUCAGGUACAUUCAUUUUUAUAACAAUUUUUUAGUGCGCAGGAUAAUAUCAGAACGACAUGCCGUAUUCUCAUUUUUCUAUGAAUUAUUAAUAAUUUCAUUUCACCAAAAACAAUCCGGGAAAUAUGCCCAUUUCAACGCGUGUCAUGCUGAAUUCAAUAUAGACCAUCAGAUCAUCAGCUUUUCAGCCAUUUCUCAUCUAAACGCUCAUAUUAUUUAGGGGCAGUUUUAGUAUUUAGGAAAAAAAAAAUUUUGCAAAUAAAACAAGAAAAUGGUCAAAAUUUUGAGCAGGGUGUCAAAUCUAACCCAAAUUAUAUAUAUUACAUUUUUUUGGUAAUUAUUUUCGGUCGUCUGUCAAAUUAAAGCGCCUAUAACAUGACAGACAAAGUUGACGUGACACUAAUUUGAUCAAUCAAAUUGAUGCAACAUCGUAGAUUUGCAUUUAAAAUAUAAAUAUAAGAAAAAUAUAAAUUAUUCCCUAAAACACAGACACUUCAAAAACAAAUUAAAACAAAUGGAAUUAAAUUAUUUCCCAUCAAUCUUUGUGUGGAUUCUCUGAUUAUAUCACACUCACAUUCUACUAUGGAUUCCUUCCCAUCAACCAUCAUUUUUACGGGUUUUAAUGUAACUUUCUCGGCGGAAAACAUUGAUAAUGCUCCGGCUGACAAUUCCGUAAGCCUUAUUGAUCGGGUUUUGUGGCCGCUACCAAAGUCGAAUCACAUGCUACUUCAUGGCAUGGCUUGUCAAUGACGGAUUCGUCCAGAAAACCUUUAGGUUAUUGAUGCCAGUCACUACCUCACGAAAUUUGUUUUCCCUACCAUAGAGGAGAUGACUGACCCACAUCUUCCGGAGCCAACCAUGGGCUUACAAAAGCACCAUCAUUAAUUUGGUUCCUUGGGAAUUACCAUCGCAAGACUUAUAUGAUCACCUACAAUUCAUGUUGCUGUAAUCCAUAUGAAGGACUUGUCGGGACCUUUUAACACUACCAAAUUCGUGUCCAAGUUGUUUUAACCACUGGGAAUCGUGAUCCAGACUAAUCAGUUUUCUAACUGGCCUGAUGGCAGUGGUCUUCAUUUUGUAAAAUCUAUUGUCAAACUUGAUCUUUUGUAGAGUCUUCAGGGUCACUCCUAUGCUACGGUGGCUGGUCGCCAGCCUUUCUGGGUCAAACUUCCUAGGUCAAACUUCAAUAUGAAGAUUUACCAACUGCGUGCUAUAUUUGUGGUCUCCUUGGUCAUGGUCAUGGUCACUGCCCUUAUGCAGCAAUUCUUCCCCAUAAUUCCGAGGAACGCGGUCCGUGGAUGCAAGCUAAACCUGAUGGCCAUUUUAUCGUUUAGGAUUACAUUCUUCUCAUAAGCGUAGAACUGUAAUAGGUUGUUAGGAAUCCAAUGAUUAGAUUCUCCUUGCGAUGUGAUUCGGAGCAAGAGCUCUCAGGACUGUACAGUAGCGUGUGAUCUACUAUACAUAUGUUGUGAUGUGUUUUAGAGUGGGGGGCUCUCAGACUGUACAUUAGCGUGUGAUCUACUGUACAUGUAGUUAUUAUAGUUCGAGCAUAAGCUCUUGGAGUUUAAACUGUGGCGUGUGAUCCACAGUUCAUGAUAGGAUAAGAUAGGCCUACCUAGACUAGCUCACGAUUUUAUGCAUCGGUCACCCACCUAUGGAUUGCGCAAUCCCAUAGAAUUUCAUGCAUCAGGCAAGACAUGUUGAGUACACCUAUAGAUGCUGCUCACACGGAUAUUCAUGGUGGUUUCGUGGUCUGAUCCACAGUGAGGACGUCCACACAGUUAGGGGUGGCUGAUGCUAGGUAGAUGCCUACAGGAUCACAAGGUCACAUUACUAGAUGUAGUGUACAGUCUUAGUGCAGUCUCAACUCAGUCUCAAUUCUACGCGAGAAUCAGAUAGUCACUCAGUGCUUAUCACUGACCCCAUUAUAUGUUUGUUUUCCCUAUUUGUAUUAGUGUAUUUCAGUCACAGGUACUUGAGUUGAUGGUGAGGAGAGAGCUAGUCGGAGUUUUUAUAUCAGAAUAUAUCUGUUUUGAUGUGUUUUAGAACUGGAGUUGUAUCUCCACUUGUUAUGUUUCAACAUGUAUUUAAAGAUUUCAGGUCUGUCAGUAUUAAAAGGUUUCACGCAUGUUCAAUAUUUAAUGCUUGUUUUAUGCAUUUGUUAGUAGUUAUUAGUCGAGUUUGGUUCAGACUGGAACCCGAGUAGAAUUCUUUGGUUGAACUUGAAGGUUGGCUCAUUUGCCAUGAUUUGAUAGGAAACUAAGUUAUAGUUAUUUAACUUGGUGUGAUUUCGGUGAAAUGAAAUUAAACUACAUAAAAAGGAAACCAUUCACCAAAAGGAAAAAUGUAUGCAAUACCCGCCUUUUCUCGUCUCUACUCUCUCUACUUGGCGAAGGCGACGGAAGGAAGAACCGCCUAAAACCUAAAACCCUUCUCUCUUUCGAAAAUCUGCUUUUUCGAUUUUCUAUUUAUUAGCCUGGAGUUGUAUUUCCUCGCUGAGCUAUUGUUAGCAUGUGUUCCCAUUACUAGGCGAUCAUCAUCUUCUUUUUUAUCCUCGUCGUAGUCGUAGUCGUCGUCGUUGAGGGACCGGGGAAGAUGAGUACAGUUGAUAAGAUGCUGAUAAAAGGAAUCCGGAGUUUCCACCCGGAGAACAAGCACGUCAUCACCUUCUUCAAACCACUUACCCUAAUCGUCGGCUCCAACGGUGCCGGGAAAACUGUAUUCGUGCUUCCUCUCUCUCCUCAACUAUAUCCUUCAGACUUGAAUGAGGGGUUUUUAUUUUUCUUAGUGUUCUCUGUUUGUGUGUGUAUUCUGCAGACCAUUAUAGAAUGCUUGAAGGUUGCAUGCACUGGUGAGCUGCCCCCAAAUGCAAGGAAUGGACACAGUUUCGUUCAUGAUCCUAAGGUAAUUUCUAUCUUCUUUUUCUCACUUGUUGUCUCCACUUCACUGCUUUUUUGGGUCUGUUGGAGUGCCUGAAUGCCUUCUGGCUUUAGGUUGCCGGUGAAACUGAGACAAAGGGACAAAUUAAGCUCCGAUUCAAGACUGCUGCUGGUAAGGAUGUUGUAUGCAUAAGGUCCUUUCAGCUGACACAGAAGGCCUCCAAGCUGGAGUAUAAGGCAAUCGAGAGUGUGCUUCAGACGAUCAAUCCGCACACUGGGGAGGUUAGAGUUUUCCUGUCAUAACCUUCUUGUAUUGCUUCGCACAUGAUUUAGAAUUUCUGAUGUUAACCCGUGGUGCUGCAUACGAAUGCUGUCAUUGGAAUGUGCAGUCUCGGAUUAAACGCUAUGUUACGGCUUUGGUUAUUUUCUAGUAUCUAAGUUUGGCUUGUAGUACUUGGAGGACGUUUUUAUGAACCUUCUGUUGUCCGUCAAUAUGGGAAGUCUUGAAAGGCUCCUUUCUCCCUUUCUGUUCUGCUCGCUGGUGGCAGCUAUUGAAUGGUCUUGCAUAUCUCUUGCUUAUCUACCGAAUAAAUGUGGUGUAUUAUUUUUUUUAUUUUUUUGGCGAAGGCUAGAGGAUUAUUUGGUGGGCUAUUUAGGAAUGCAGGAACAGGAAGCCUUAAUGUAGUGGAUUUGACUCGUAGAAUCCAGUUUGAGGUUCGGUGCAAGCAGGGCAUUCUAGAUUUUCACGUAUUUUGUACUGAUUGAGGAUGUUUCUUUAGAGUGAGAAGUGUUUUUGGUUUCCUCGGUUCUAUUGUAUAUACAGUCUUUGAUUUGCAAAGUUCCAAUACGCUUCAUGAAUAAGAUAAGCUAUUCAUCAGAAGAAAAUGUGGUGUAUUUGUACAGACAAGUUGGUGAUUUUUUUUGAUUUUGUAUUUGAUUUAAGUUGGCUUAUAUCAUGGUUGGCAACACUGGCCUAGUUGUUCUGGCUACUAUUGGACCUGUUCUCAUUUGUGUGAGUUAUGUGUGUUGGUUGAAGACCAUUUCGCUUAACAUGCCAAUUUUUUUUAUUAUGUUCCCUUUUCCAAUGAGGCUGGUGCAUUUAUGUGGUCUUCUUGUACUUUCUACUCCCAAAAUGUUUUACGUGAUGUAGGUGUUCUUGCUGUACUUUUUUGGGGAUAAAUUUGGUUGUGCCUUUCCAACCAAAUGACCCGAAAUUUGCAUAAGAGAUGAAUCGUAGUAGAUGGGACAUGUCAUUGUCUUUCACUCUGUCUCUCCAUGUCCGAAGUUGGUCUUACUGUACUUGCUAGCCGAUAUAAAUGGAGACUUAGACUCUGUUUGUUUCUUUUCAACUGCAGAAAGUCUGUCUUAGCUAUCGAUGUGCUGACAUGGAUAGGGAAAUCCCUGCUUUGAUGGGUGUUUCAAAGGCUGUUCUUGAAAAUGUCAUAUUCGUCCACCAAGAUGAAGCUAAUUGGCCAUUACAAGACCCUUCCUCAUUGAAAAAGAAGUUUGAUGAUAUAUUCUCUGCGACAAGGUACUCUUUUGGAUACUCCUGCUGAAGUGAUUGCAUCUGUUAUUCUGUUCUCAUAUUGCCUUCAUGCAGAAGUAUUGUGCUUGAAAAUGUGAAAUUUGCAACAUAUUUGAUGUUGUUUGUCCUUUAAUCAUGUGUACCCAGAACGCUUUUUUUGUUAGUCCUUUUUCCAGUUUGAGAUGUCAUGCAUUGGAUAAUAUGUUGGGGAUGCUAGAUGCCAUACAUAGUAGAUUUGAAUGCUUCAAAUACACAUAAUAACAGAACUUGGUUUUCCACCUACUCUGUGAGGCUUUAAAGGUGAGAAAAGUUAGCCGAAAGACUGAUACUGGUGCGAAGUUACUUUAUUAAAAUUGUAAAGAGUAAACAACCAAUAAGGAUUGUGAAAAAAUAUAGGCUUUGAGAAAUCCUGGCUUCCGUCAAUUGUGUCCUAAAUUAUAACAUACAUUGACUUUAAGAUUGGAAAGCAUUUGUUAUAUGAAGAAAAUUGAAGGGGUCAUUAAUACCUCUGAGCAGCAAAUUAAUCUUAAUCCAACUUCAAAAAUGUUGAUCUUUUGUAAUUAUAUUAUUCCUUAUUUUCUUAUUUUUUGGGUGCUUUCUAGACAUUUCUGCUUCCUUAUGUGCUGAUUACCCUUAAUCUUUUUGGAGAUAGAUAUACCAAGGCUUUGGAGGUCAUCAAGAAACUUCACAAGGACCAAGCUCAGGAAAUUAAAGCAUACAAGCUUAAAUUGGAGAAUCUCCAAACCCUGAAGGAUUCUGCAUAUAAGGUUAGAAAUUGUGUUUCUAAGUGAUUUAUAAAAAGACACAUAUAAACGUCUUUGUGCUUGAUCUUCCUCUCUGAAAUUAUUUAGUGAUUGAUAGCUCACCAAUAUUUAGCUAGGCAUUAUCAAAACAAUUGAUUUGUUUAUUUAUUUUCUUAAUAAUAUUUUAUCAACAUGAGAAGAGUUUAGAGAAUUAAUUGGUUGCCUAGUAGGUCUCUUCAUACUGCUCAAGGUUGUUCAGACUAGUUAGUAAUUGACAAGGUUUAGUGCCAAUGGAAUGCUUUACUGAAUGGCCGAGAAAAUUGCUGUUAUUUUCGUAAUACAUAUUUAACAAUAUGAAAAGCGUUAAGCAAUGUAAUUGGUGGACCAGGUGGGUCUUUCCAUACUGCUCUUGGUUUUCAUAUAAUCAUAUUAUUCGUUGUGAGACAAAGAAGUUACUAUUCUCAACAUAUCGGCAUAGCUCACCGAUACUUUGAGCUUUUAUUGUGUAUAAUUGUAUUUUCCUUCCAUUCGAAGGCAAGCCCAAAGUUUCUAUCAUAUUUUAUUUCAUUUGUUCUACAUUUAUUGCAUCUUUAGAGUGUGUUACUUCUAUAGCUUUGAACAACGCCAUAUUUUUCUUAGACCUUAAUGCUCAUAUCUGCAACAUUGGCAUAUCGAGUAACUAUAAAGCCUAAUACAAUUCGAUUACUAUUCACUCAGGCUUCUAGUAUACUAUUAUGAAGUCUAAACUGUGACUUAUUUGACAAUCGCGAAGCUAAAAUUUACUUUGAAGAAUUUUAUAUUAUUGAAAUUUCUACUUCUAAAUCAAUUCUUGCUUUGGUGAUCCAUUUCAAGAUGUAUCAUGUAUGACAUAAUUAUGUCCCUAAAUGGCUCUCUGGUUGACACUAUAGUUUAGUACUAGUGUUUGUUCUAGGUUGCCCAAAUAUUUAGAAGAUGUAUGAGGCGGCCCUGGAUGAACAAGAUUAGGCUGUCUGAUUUUAUACACUUGGGACUGACUCUCCUUUUUAUGAUGUUGGGUCUUUUUAUCUUCUUUCUGCUUUCCUUCUUGUUUGUCUCCUUAGCUUCGUGAAAGCAUUUCGCAAGAUCAAGAAAAGACGGAAUCAUUAAAAAUAAAAAUGCAAGACCUAGAAAGUAACAUUCAAAAUGUAGAAGGGAGGAUCCAAGACACUAAAUCAAUACUUGAAGAGGCGAGGAACCUACAGAAAGAAAUAUCCACCAAGGAUGCAGAAAGGGGGCUUCGGGUUGAUGAGAUGGAGCGGCUACUUGCUACUCUUGAUUCAGAAAUAACAGGUUUCACGCAUCAUUACCCAACACAUUGUGUCCCUACAAUCCAUAUUUCUAUUAAUUAAUUGCAAUUCAGACAUACAUAAAUGCUAUAACAUCCCUGGACCCUGUUUGGCUAAAAAAAUUGAAUCCUGAAGUCUCAAGCCAUUGUAACGUUAAUGCAAAUUUCUCACAUCUAUUUUUUUGGUGCUGUUAUCAGAUGAUGAUGAGGAACUGAUUUCCUGGAAGCAAACUUUUGAUACACGUCUGGCUACAUUGAACACGAAAAUCAGCAGAUUGGAGAGGGAAAUGAAUGAUGCAGAUAAGAAAGCUUCCAAUCUUAAGAAGACAAUCAAUGACUCAAUCCUAGCAAUUGGACGGCUUCAAGCUGCUACGGAUGUAAUGUUACGAUGAUAAAUUUCAUGGUUUCUUCAAGUGUGCCAAUUGAAGAUGAAUCUCUGACCUCCCACUUAUGAACUUAGGCUCAUACUUCCUUGAAGAAUGAAAGAGAUUCUACCAUCCAUGGAGUUUGUGCAAGGUAUAAUGUCGGGUCUCUGCAUGACACCCCAUUAACGGAUGAGAUGGCUUUGAAUCUUACUGAAUGCCUGGAAUCAAGGUCAAUGAAUCUUAAGAAAGAUUUACAAGAGAAAAAGGUGAAAGAUUCUCUCUCCUUUCUGUGUGCUUUGCUAUGCUGCAAGACAACGGUUCUUGUUUAUGGGGCAUCUUGUAUUUCAAAUGUCUGUCUCGUUCUUAUUCCUUAAGGAGCUAUUAAAAUUUGUUACUUGCUGAUUUUGACUUUGGCUGUUUCCAGAAAUUAAAUGAUAUCCAAGUUAAGGCAGCAGAGAAAAACUGCAGGGAUGCCAGUGACGCAUGGAGAGUUGCUGAGGCUCAACUACAGGCUAAACAAGAAUUAAAGGUCAACUAUUCAAGUCUUUCUGGUGCUUCUUAAUUGUUAGAUGUGCUGGUUAUCUUUUUCUGUCUGGCAUUUUUUUUUAUGUAUAUUGAAAUCUCUACAGAAUAAUUUAUCUGAUCGCAUUAAGGAAAAGGAAAAUGAGCUUGCAGCGUUGGAAGAACAACUAUCCCAUGCCAAUCUUCCCCGUAUUGAUGAGAAGGAAAAGAACAUGGUAAGGAUCUGUGGAAUUUUAUCGCAGCAAGAAUUGUCUGUUGAGUGCGAUAAAUAAAUCCAGGCUUUUCAAACUAAUUGCAGGCUAUUGAGGUUGGAAGAAAAACUAAUCAGCUUUCUGAAAGAGACUUUGAGUCAAAUAUACGACAGAAGCAAAGUGAGUUGUAUGGUAUUGAACAAAAAAUUAAGGCACUUAAUCGGGACAAAGAUCUCCUUGCUGUUUAUGCCGAGGAUAGAAUAGUGCUGUCUCUCAAGAGAUCAGAAUUAGAUAAUCACAAAAAGAAGCAUAGAAAAAUGUAAGCUUUUCUGCUUUUAGUUCAUUGCCGGCCUUCAAUUCUCUAUCACCUUUAUCCAUCAAAUAUAUACACCUGUUUCUGUCAUUUCAUCAGAAUUGUUAUCCUUUCCUAAUGUUUCCAGAAUUGAUGAAUACAAAGAUAAGAUCAGAGGGGUGCUAAAAGGGAGGCUUCCUUCUGAUAAGGAUUUGAAGAAAGAAGUUACUCAAGCCCUUAGGUUAAUCUGAUCUUACUUGCAAUAUCUCUACUUCAGAUUUCAUGUUCAUGUGUAUUUAUAUGCUGCUCCUCUUACAUGUGAAUUGAUGGUUGUAGGUCUAGCUAAAUUUAAGAGUCUAACCUCUCAUUGGUGCCUCUGUUGGUUUAUAUUGUCGGGCAUUGGAAUUGCAGAGCUAGACGUUCUUUUCUCACUUUUCAGCUAUACGCAAUUCUAGUUUAGUUACUUUCUGCUUUGAUUUAGUUUCUCAAGCGUUGCUACUCCAGUUGUUUUGUUUUGUAUUUCCUUCAAGGAAAGUGGAUACCUUGGGUGGCUGGCAUCUGCAAUUUGGAUAUGCAUAAAAUAAAACCUCGGGAUAUGAUUAUAUUGUGUUACUAUGUACUGUAUGCUGUUCUGAGAAAUUUGUUUGGCUGUACAUUAUGUUUAUUAUUGCCGCAGGAUUGAGUUCACUAGAAGUAUUAGUUGUUUUCUGAAAUUGCUGUUCAAAUGAAUCUAAGUAAGUUUGUGCAGCGAUAACAUCAGGUAAAUCUGGUAAGAAAAGAUGGCUGCAUGCAGGUUGAAUACUCACAAUCAUAUGUUAUUAAAUCAGACCCCCAAGUAUCCUUACUUUCAGAAGAUGUUUUUAAAUUUAAUGUCAGAAAAUUCUUCCUGCCAUAUGGUUGGAUGGAAUGUGGUUUAUAUUUGUGCGUUGUCUAGCUGUUGCGGUUAAGAUUUGUUUCUUUGGUUUUAGUGAUCGCAUCUUAUUCUAAAGUGGACAGUAGAAGGGGGUUUCAGUCUAUAGCUUCUGAAUUUUAGUUAUCUUGGAAGUACUCUUAUUCCUUUCAACCUUUGUUCAAUGCAAGCAUGCUUUCCUAACCAAAAGUAAAUUGAUUUUGUUCUCCGAGUAGGGCUCUGGGAAAUGAGUUCGAUGACUUGAAUACAAAAUCCCGUGAUGCAGAGAAGGAGGUGAAUGUGUUGCACCUGAAAAUACAAGAGACCAAUAAUAAUAUCUCCAGAUUCCACAAAGAUAUGGAUGGUGAGUCUCAUUUCACUUGAGACCAUAAUUGAAUUUCCAUACUGUCGUUUCUUCUGGAAUAGUGGUUCAAGUUUUAGUUCUAAUUCACAGACACAUCAUAUCCACUAGUCAGUUGGCAUGGACUUCAUGCUCAGUAUUUAUUGCAACAUGCUAAACAAUUAAUUGGAAGUCAGCAUGAUAGGGAUACAUGAGGGCUAGACUACUACGUAUGUACCUUGCUUCUAUCAAUGAAAAAUAAAGGUUAUGAGAACUAUUUGAAUGAACUAUUUUCACUCGAGCUGAAGUGCUAACAGCUGUAUUUAUUAUCCACAUCUCUGCAAUAGGGACGUAUUCAAACUACGAAACUGACUCAUACAUAUCUCUUGAGUCCUAUGUACAACAAUACUGUUGACUAGAUAAUUUAUCUAAACAAUAUAAAUAUAUCUUAAACUCUUUUUUCUAUAAUAAUCAUCUCUAAUUAUCCGUACAAACCAACACUUGUGCUCAAACUUCAAAUAUAUUUUUCAUGAUCAGCUUGUCCACGAGAUAGUUGAACGGUUUCUUUGUAGAGCUCUUUGGUAAGAAUAUCUGCAAUUUGAUACUUAGUAGAGAUAUAUGGCAUACACAUGGCUCUGGAGGUAAGGUAUCAAUAACUUGGCGCCCCAGCUCCAACGUGGAGCUUCUCCUUAAUGAAAUGUUUAUCAACUUCAAUAUAUUUAGUCCUAUCGUGCAAAUCAGGAUAAUCAGCAAGAGCUAUGGCAGCUUUGUUAUAACUGCUAAUGUAAUGCUUAUUGCAGCCUGCCUUUCUUAAUUGUUUCUGUAGUGGGGAUCUAUUUAAUAUUUGUUUAUCUCCCUAGCUUCUCACUCCUGUAAUUACUGAAUGUAGCUAAGAAGAGAUUUAUUGAAUCCAAACUUCAGUCAUUGGAUCAGCAAUCUUUCACCAUCGAGUCUUACUUUAAAGUGCUAGAAUCAGCAAAGGAGAAGAGAGAUGUCCAGAAAAGGUUUUCCCUUGAGUUAUCAAUGUGCUUGCCACUGCAGUGCAUUUGAGAAAUAUUUAUGCUGCCACAGAAGGCCUUAUAUGGUAUCUAUUCCCCCCCUGCAGCAAGUAUAACAUCGCUGAUGGCAUGCGGCAGAUGUUUGAUCCGUUUGAACGAGUUGCCAGAGCUCAUCAUGUCUGCCCUUGCUGUGAGCGUCCUUUUUCCUCUGAGGAGGAAGAUGAAUUUGUCAAAAAGGUCUGUUUAUAACUUGAUUAUAUGAUACUUCUGGUGGAUGGAAUAAAAUGGUUUUGCCUGUUUUAAUUUUUCCUGGUUAUAUUUAAAAUUCAGCAAAGAGUUAAAGCUGCAAGUUCUGCCGAGCACAUAAAAAAGUUGGCCAUAGAGACUUCAAAUUCAGAUUCUCUCUUUCAACAGCUGGACAAGCUCCGUAUAGCAUAUGAAGAGUAUGUCAAACUAGGCAAAGAUGCUAUACCGCUUGCAGAAAAAUCUCUGCAUGAUCUUCAGCACGAGCUUGAUCAGAAGUCACAGGCCCUUGAUGAUGUAAGUAUUGUCAUUUGGACUUUGUUAAUGUUACAUAACUUGGCGUUUUAGGCAAUCUUGUUAUGCUAUUCAUCGAUUUAUGCUUAUCACUAACCCAUAAUAGUCGCCUACUGUUUCUGCUGUCACUCCGUCGACUAAGUCAAGAUUUUAUCCCUGCCCCUUUAGCUAUAUAAGAAGGAAAAAAGAACUUACAGUCAUGUGUUCUUUGAGAUGGAGAAAUACAUGAUGUUGAAACUACAGAGUGGAAAGAUUUUAUCAGCCUUGUCCAGAGUAGCAUGAUUAUUUCUUUAAUAACUCUUGACUAUGUUUACAUAGUUCGCUUGCAAAUGGAACUAGAUGUGGGUUGGUUGUAGAGUCGGUAGGAUGAAAUUGCUAGGUCAUGGAUCAGUGAUAGGUGGAGGUCUAUGCGACAAUUUGGCAAUGCCUUAUUUUUCUUGGGUAAGAAAACUUGAUGCGAGACAAGUUAUUGCAAUUCUGAAAGCAACGGGUUGUAUUGGUAAAAAAAAUACGUUUGUGAACAUUUCACACUAGUCCACUAGGUUGUGGACGAAAAAGGCAAAGUACCUGUACUUUCCGUUGUCAUACAUACCUAAAAAUUUACGUUUAGCUAGGCAUAUUAUGUCUAGUCUCUUAAAGGAUCAAAGUGUUAGGUUUUAGAGAAUUUAGAUUAAGGCCGUGGAAGCAAUGUUGCCUAGUAUAAGACAACCACUUACUGCUCCUUAAGUAAAAAUAACGGAAGGCGACUUUAGCCUCCAAUGAAUUCUAGUAGUCAAGCAUUAUUGUACUACGACUUGGCUAUCUGUAGCUUGAUGUUAAUAUUUUCGAAUGGCAAAAUUAUUAGUGAUUUUGACAGAUUGGUAUAAUUUUCUCUGAUAUAAUGUCUCUUGAUAUUCUUCCGUUUUUUGCUCCGUCUCCUAUUUACCUGGCUCCCACAUGACUUAGUAAGAUGAGCAUGUUGGCUGUGCUUUAACCGUUGAUGUCAUAUUUGAGAAUGUUUUGUUGUCUCUCAUGUUGACUUCAGUCGUUACCGCUCUAUCUGUUUUUGUUGUAGGUUUUGGGGAUCUUGGCCCAGAUUAAGGCUGACAAGGACUUGGUUGAUGUAUUAGUGCAACCUAUGGACACUGCAGAUAGGCUUUAUCAAGAAAUUCAGACUUUGCAAGAGCAAGUACGUAUUUUGGAGGAACAGCUUGAUGGUCAAGGGCAAGGUGCCAGAUCUAUGGAAGUGAUGCAGUCAGAACUUAAUUGUUUACAGAGUACAAGGUACUUAGUUUCACGCCCACUUCUCUCAUCCCAUGGUUCUUGGACUAUCAAUUUAUCUUACAGUACCACAUUGACACUGUGAAAGGGCUUACUCGGGCAUCAAAAGGUGUAUUUGACGCUGUAGCUGCGUGACGCAUUUUAAGACUAGACAAAUACUUUUCAAGGGAAUGUUACGACUUAUUUCAUUUGGAAGGGAAUGUCAUGACUUAUUUCACUUUGAACGGAUCAGUGGAUUGUUUCCCCUCAAACUACUUCAUCCCUAUUUGGCUACCAUCAGUGGUAAACUAAGAACAAAAAAAUUGGUAAAUUGGUUUGCUAUUCUGGUUGGAUGCAAAGGCUAGUAUUCCUUAUGGCGGUUCUAGAUUUUAGAGGGGGCGCUCUCAGGAAAUAAAUCAUUAUGUAACUUUAUGGGUAAAAAAGUGGAGGCAUCAUUGAACUUAAUUUUGAUGUUGUUCCAUAUAUUUGAAAUAAGGGUCAAAUUUUUUGUAGUUGGAUUCUUUCUGUCCAGGACCCCUUUAUCGGAAAGUUUGCUCUUGUGGUACCAAUCACUUGGUUACGUACUCACCAGGCCCUGAACUAUAACUCGGGCAGAGUAGUGUCAGGAUGUUCCUUAUGAACCAAGUCAUUUAUGUUUAUGAUGUGUAGGAUUUUAUUAUUCUGCUCUAGCUUGUCAAUCGAUUGGUCGCUUCUUUCUCUUGGUCACCAGGGAUUCCCUGCAGAGUGAACUGGAAAAUUUAAGGGAUGAGCAGAGAUAUAUGGAAAAUGAUUUGCAGCACAUUCAACUACGUUGGCAUGCCAUGAGGGAGGAAAAGGUUGCUGCAUCGAACAUAUUAAGUAAUGUUAAAAGGCUAGAGAAAGAAUUGGAAAAUCUGGCCGUGGAAAAGAAUGAAGCUGAGCUUGCUGUGAAGGUAUGUUUCAGACUGGAUUUUGUCUGCUUUUUCGGAUUAACUAUUUCCAGUAUAAAUAACCUAGUUGAUUAUUUGAGAAUGGCUUGUAUUUCACUUGAAUUUCAGAUUUGAGCUAAUAUUACAUUGUUGUCUUUUGAGCAUGUGGACUUGCGUUUGGAGUUCUGUUUGCGUGCACAAAAUGUUAUUUGGUUGGGUCUUUUCAAAACUGAAGAUUGAGAGAAUGAAUUACUUUUAUUCAUGUCUCGUAGGUUUAUUAUAUACAGCAUUCCUCCUACUGACUAGGUAGGAAAAUAUCUACUCUAACUAUUUAAUAGGAUCUGCUAGCUAAAUUAGGAUAGGACUAGAACUAACACGGUAACUAUCUAACUAGCAAAUAAACUAAUAAGAUCUGACUGUAUACAAAUAAGGAACGGGAUUUCCUCACUCCCCCUCAAGCUUGGUGUAGAUGUUGUACAAACCCAGCUUGGACUUGAAAUGAUCUGACUGUUCUCGUGGAAGUGCCUUUGUGAGUAUGUCUGCGGUCUGCUGUUUGGACUGGACAUAUCUCACAUCCACAACUCCCCUUUCCACCUUCUCAGUGAUAAAAUGCCUGUCUAUCUCGACAUGUUUAGUCCUGUCGUGAUGUACAGGGUUCUUAACAAUGCUUAAGGCUGACUGGCUAUCGCUGUAUAGUGUAGCUCUCCCGUGUCCUGGUAACUCUAGUUCCUUUAGAACUCGCUGUAUCCACAUAACUUCCUGAAUCCCGAGAGCAAGUGCUCGGUAUUCUGCUUCUGCACUGCUUCGUGCAACCACUGAUUGCUUCUUACUUCUCCACGUUACUAAAUUUCCCCAUACAUAAGAGCAGUAACCUGUGGUCGAUCUCCUCGUUGUAAUUUCACUGGCCCAGCUUGCAUCAGUGUAUAUUUCCACUGACCUGCUCUCAUUCUUCUUGAACAUCAGCCCCAAUCCUGGGGUUUUCUUUAGGUAUCUAAGAAUAUAGUUUACAGCAUCCAUGUGCUCACUCUUUGGUUCAUUCAUGAACUGGCUAACCACACUCACAGCAAAAGCUAUGUCGGGUCGCGUGUGUGCCAGGUAUAUCAGCUUUCCUACCAGCUGUUGGUAUCUUCCCUUGUCUGCUUUUUCCCCGUUUUCUUCUACACUGAACUUCAUGUUUGACUGCAUUGGGGUAUCUGCCGGUUUGCACCCUGUCAUACCGGUUUCCUCUAGCAAAUCUAGGAUAUACUUUCUCUGGGAUAUAGAAAGUCCUUUGCUCGAUCUGGCCACCUCCAUUCCGAGAAAAUAUUUCAUUUCUCCCAGAUCUUUCAGCUCAAACUCAGUUCCCAGUUUGAUCUUCAACCUUGAGAUCUCCUCAUUGUCAUUUCCCGUAAUUAUAAUGUCAUCAACGUAGACAAUCAAGAUGGCUAUCUUGUUCCCAGCUCCAUGCUUCACGAACAUUGUGUCAUCUGUUUGACACUGAUGGUAGCCAUUAGAUGUUAUAGUUGCUGAAAAUUUUCCAAACCAAGCUCUAGGAGACUGUUUUAGUCCGUACAGGGACUUCUCCAGCUUGCACACCUUUCUGCCGGUUUUAAGAUGAGGCACCCCUUCUGGAAUUUCCAUAUAAACUUCCUCUGUUAAUGCUCCAUUUAGGAAUGCAUUUUUGACGUCCAUUUGAUAUAGGGGCCAGUCUUCAUUUACUGCCACUGACAGUAGAAUCCGAACGGUGUUGAGUUUUGCUACCGGGGCAAACGUUUCCUGGUAGUCAAUCCCAUAUGUUUGUGUAAAUCCUCGUGCUACGAGCCUAGCCUUGUGUCUCUCCACACUGCCAUCUGCCCUGUACUUUAUUGUAAACAGCCAUUUGUAGUCUACUGUUUGUUUUCCUGGUGGUAGGUCAACAAUCCUCCAGGUUUCAUUGCUUUGUAACGCCCUUAUCUCUUCCAAAACUGCCUGUCUCCACUCAGGUAUUCUCAUGGCCUCCUCUAUGUUGCGAGGUUUGGUAUCCAAGUGUACAGUAAACGCCCUAAAUUCAGGGCUUAGGCGGCCAUAGUGAACGUACCGUUGUAUCGGAUGACGAGUGCAUUCUCGCACACCCUUUCUCAAUGCAAUAGGCUCACUGAAUAGGGUUUCCUGUUGCACUUCUUCUUCAGCGAUAUCAGCACUCUCAGAUUCACUAUGAGUGUCCAUCCCUUCACUGUUUCUUCCAGUUUCUGGUUCAGGCUCUAUAUUAGGCUCGAGCCUCUGUCUCCGCUGGUAAACAUGCUGAAUUGGUGGUCUGCUGCUCGUUUCUGGAGCAGGUGCUGGUUCUUCUCCAACUAUGCCCGUAUGAAUGGGAGGCAUGGUUGGUCCAUCCAACGCAAUUAAAUUCUCCAGAUCUAGAGCUUCUUCAGUUUCUGCCACCUCUGCCACUGUUGGCUGUGGCUGUAUCUCCCCCUGAAGCUCUGGAGUAGUGUAAUAGGCGUAGGUUUCAAAAAAUGUCACAUCCAUGGUCACCACAACUUUCCUGGUGAUAGGGGAGUAACAUUUAUACCCUUUCUGCCGAGGAGAAUAGCCAAUGAACACACACCUCUGUGCUCGAGGAUCCAGCUUGGUCCUUUGAUGCUGCUGGAUGUGAGUGAAGGCAAGGCAUCCAAAAACCUUAGGUUCCAAUUCAGACAUAUACGCACGUACAUGCGGGUAUGUUUUCAUCAAUACAUCUUUAGGUGUUUGAUAAUUGAGGAUGCGACUUGGUAGCCUAUUGAUCAAGUAGGUUGCUGUUAACACAGCCUCCCCCCAUAGGUACUUUGGAACCUGUUUGAUGAAGAGCAAUGCUCUAGNNNNNNNNNNNNNNNNNNNNNNNNNNNNNNNNNNNNNNNNNNNNNNNNNNNNNNNNNNNNNNNNNNNNNNNNNNNNNNNNNNNNNNNNNNNNNNNNNNNNNNNNNNNNNNNNNNNNNNNNNNNNNNNNNNNNNNNNNNNNNNNNNNNNNNNNNNNNNNNNNNNNNNNNNNNNNNNNNNNNNNNNNNNNNNNNNNNNNNNNNNNNNNNNNNNNNNNNNNNNNNNNNNNNNNNNNNNNNNNNNNNNNNNNNNNNNNNNNNNNNNNNNNNNNNNNNNNNNNNNNNNNNNNNNNNNNNNNNNNNNNNNNNNNNNNNNNNNNNNNNNNNNNNNNNNNNNNNNNNNNNNNNNNNNNNNNNNNNNNNNNNNNNNNNNNNNNNNNNNNNNNNNNNNNNNNNNNNNNNNNNNNNNNNNNNNNNNNNNNNNNNNNNNNNNNNNNNNNNNNNNNNNNNNNNNNNNNNNNNNNNNNNNNNNNNNNNNNNNNNNNNNNNNNNNNNNNNNNNNNNNNNNNNNNNNNNNNNNNNNNNNNNNNNNNNNNNNNNNNNNNNNNNNNNNNNNNNNNNNNNNNNNNNNNNNNNNNNNNNNNNNNNNNNNNNNNNNNNNNNNNNNNNNNNNNNNNNNNNNNNNNNNNNNNNNNNNNNNNNNNNNNNNNNNNNNNNNNNNNNNNNNNNNNNNNNNNNNNNNNNNNNNNNNNNNNNNNNNNNNNNNNNNNNNNNNNNNNNNNNNNNNNNNNNNNNNNNNNNNNNNNNNNNNNNNNNNNNNNNNNNNNNNNNNNNNNNNNNNNNNNNNNNNNNNNNNNNNNNNNNNNNNNNNNNNNNNNNNNNNNNNNNNNNNNNNNNNNNNNNNNNNNNNNNNNNNNNNNNNNNNNNNNNNNNNNNNNNNNNNNNNNNNNNNNNNNNNNNNNNNNNNNNNNNNNNNNNNNNNNNNNNNNNNNNNNNNNNNNNNNNNNNNNNNNNNNNNNNNNNNNNNNNNNNNNNNNNNNNNNNNNNNNNNNNNNNNNNNNNNNNNNNNNNNNNNNNNNNNNNNNNNNNNNNNNNNNNNNNNNNNNNNNNNNNNNNNNNNNNNNNNNNNNNNNNNNNNNNNNNNNNNNNNNNNNNNNNNNNNNNNNNNNNNNNNNNNNNNNNNNNNNNNNNNNNNNNNNNNNNNNNNNNNNNNNNNNNNNNNNNNNNNNNNNNNNNNNNNNNNNNNNNNNNNNNNNNNNNNNNNNNNNNNNNNNNNNNNNNNNNNNNNNNNNNNNNNNNNNNNNNNNNNNNNNNNNNNNNNNNNNNNNNNNNNNNNNNNNNNNNNNNNNNNNNNNNNNNNNNNNNNNNNNNNNNNNNNNNNNNNNNNNNNNNNNNNNNNNNNNNNNNNNNNNNNNNNNNNNNNNNNNNNNNNNNNNNNNNNNNNNNNNNNNNNNNNNNNNNNNNNNNNNNNNNNNNNNNNNNNNNNNNNNNNNNNNNNNNNNNNNNNNNNNNNNNNNNNNNNNNNNNNNNNNNNNNNNNNNNNNNNNNNNNNNNNNNNNNNNNNNNNNNNNNNNNNNNNNNNNNNNNNNNNNNNNNNNNNNNNNNNNNNNNNNNNNNNNNNNNNNNNNNNNNNNNNNNNNNNNNNNNNNNNNNNNNNNNNNNNNNNNNNNNNNNNNNNNNNNNNNNNNNNNNNNNNNNNNNNNNNNNNNNNNNNNNNNNNNNNNNNNNNNNNNNNNNNNNNNNNNNNNNNNNNNNNNNNNNNNNNNNNNNNNNNNNNNNNNNNNNNNNNNNNNNNNNNNNNNNNNNNNNNNNNNNNNNNNNNNNNNNNNNNNNNNNNNNNNNNNNNNNNNNNNNNNNNNNNNNNNNNNNNNNNNNNNNNNNNNNNNNNNNNNNNNNNNNNNNNNNNNNNNNNNNNNNNNNNNNNNNNNNNNNNNNNNNNNNNNNNNNNNNNNNNNNNNNNNNNNNNNNNNNNNNNNNNNNNNNNNNNNNNNNNNNNNNNNNNNNNNNNNNNNNNNNNNNNNNNNNNNNNNNNNNNAGUAGUUGUCUUCUUCCUCUUCUCCUUUUGUUGAGUUCUGCACCUGCUUGUUGUUGCGGUAUUGAUUGCGCACAGCAAGGGCUGAACUUUCAACUUGAGGGGUAGGAGGAGUUUUCGCUGGAACAACCAUGAGAUCUCUUCGAUGUUCUUCCCCAAAUAUGGCAGCAAACGCUUCCGUGAGACUAGGGAAGGGCUUGGUACUCAUGAUUUGGCUCUUUAUGCUGUCCAGAUCCUGGUUUAACCCUAGAAGAAAAGACAGGGUUCUUUUCUUCUCAAUAUACAUCCUGAAUCGUAGCUGAUCUUCAGGGGUAUCCCAUUCCUGUGCAUCAUACGUAUCCAGGUGUAGCCAGUGAUGUCCAAGAGUAUUGUAGUACUCUGUGACGUCCAUAUCUCCUUGCUGAAGAUGGAACAGCUGUUGUUCGAUCUUGAACAUGGCAGACGAGUUGUCAAUUGUUGAGUAUGUAUUUCUGGCAGCAUCCCAGAUGGCCUUGGCAGUCGGGUGAAGGAUAUAAUUCUCCCCGAUGUUUGGCUUCAUGGAGUUGAUCAGCCAGGUACGGACCAAACUGUCAUGCUCAUUCCAGGUUUGGAAUUUUGGAUCUGUCUCGUCUGGAGCUUUGAUUUUUCCAGUGAGAUAUCCUCCUUUUCCUCUUCCUGUGAUAUGCAUCUCUACGGUCUUAGACCACUUGAGAUAAUUUUUGCCAUCCAGCCUGUGUGUGGUGAGGAAGCUUGAGUAAUCCGUCGUCGCUGCUGGUGCCACGGAGUUCGCGAUCUCUCCAGCAGUAUCGGAUCCGUUUGAAGCUCCGUCUGUCACCAUGGCUUAGGAUUGCAGCGGAAUUGUUUUAGGUCAGGUACAGAGUAGGCUCUGAUACCAUGAAGAUUGAGAGAAUGAAUUACUUUUAUUCAUGUCUCGUAGGUUUAUUAUAUACAGCAUUCCUCCUACUGACUAGGUAGGAAAAUAUCUACUCUAACUAUUUAAUAGGAUCUGCUAGCUAAACUAGGAUAGGACUAGAACUAACACGGUAACUAUCUAACUAGCAAAUAAACUAAUAAGAUCUGACUGUAUACAAAUAAGGAACGGGAUUUCCUCAUCUAAUGACCUUAUUUGUAUUUAUAUCCAUUUCAUUCCUUUUCCAGGAUUUAGCUGAAAACUUAGGCCCUUUAUCUAAAGCGAAAGAGAAGCUAGAGAGUGAUUAUGAAAAGUUAAAAAACGACCUUGAGCUGGAGUACGAGAAACAGAGGAAAGAGUUGGAUAACUAUCUGUUUGAAGUUGACACGGUGCAAAAGUUGAUGUCUAAAAUUAAAGAGUAAGUAUGUAAGCUAAUAUGUUUCUUAGAAAUUCAUAAGUGUGUAAAUCGGUAGCUGGCCAUCACAUUCUCACACUAAUUGAGUUUGCCAUCAAUCUUCAACUGUCAGGUACUAUGAUCUUAAAACAGGUGUGAGAUUGAAAGAGGCACAAGAAAAGUUAGCUACAUCUGAGUCUCAACUUGAAUCUUGUGAAACAGUAAAAGGGCAACAUUCAAAUGAAUUAAGCGUGUUGAAGGGAAAAGUGGAACAGCAAGAUAAAUGCAGAAGAGAUAUCGAAGACAACAUAAAUUAUAGGAAAAUUAAGGCUGACAUCGAGGUGCGUACUAAGGAGAUUGAAUCAUUAGAAAAGAAGCUUCUACAGAUAGGUGCAUCCUCAAAGUACGAAGCUGAUCUCAUCAAGUUUGGAGAAGAAAGGGACAUGCUUAACGCAGAGGUAUGUUUCUUUGCUGAGAAAUCACUCUACCUAGUUUUUUUUAAAAAAAAUUUGGAACUUAGGAGAAAUUAGUUCCAAGGAGUUGCAAGUCUAUUGAGCUCCUGGAAUGAUUUAGACUCUUGCCUUACAAAAAAAUUGUGUCAAAUGUUGUAUUUGAGUCCCCCCUGAAUGUAUUGGACUUUCAAGGUACCGUACCUUGGUUUCCCUUCACUCCAUGUUAGUGUGUUGUGUCAAAGUUUUGAUCUAGUCGCAAAUACAGUAUUGAAAAUUUGUGGAUCAUAGAACUAGAAACCGAUGUCUAGUUUUCAUCCACUGUCAGCACAGUUUAACUAGAUGCUGCAAUUGAAUAUGUUUCUUCCUUAGGGAGAGUGUUUGAUUUGACUAAUGCGUUGUUUUCAUUGCUAUGUUAUUUGUUUUCAUUGGUAGUACACUUUGACCCGAACUUUUCUUGUUUGAUUAUGACCAAGUGUAAAUGAAAUGAGGUUAAUGUUCCUGUUUGAAAAACAGUUCAACAAAUGUGAAGGAACAAUGUCGGUGUAUCAAGAGAAUAUCUCCAAUAAUAAAGUUGAUCUUAAGCAGCCACUUUAUAAGGAUAUAGACAAGCGGUACUUCGAUCAGCUAAUACAGCUCAAGGUGCGCAUUAUUGUUCUUGUUUUACUAAGUCAGAGUGCAGAUUAGAUUUUCCCUGUCCGCUUGUUAUAUUGCAUAUCUAAAGGAAAAGCUUCUGACAGACUACUGAAAUGGCCAACAAGGACCUUGACAGAUACUACAGUGCCCUUGACAAGUAAGACCACGGGAAUUAACUCGACUGUGAUAGCUCAUCCCCUUAUUUGAUUAAUGUGCUUUUGCUUAACUUGGUUAUGGGUAGUUAACUGCUGUGUCGUAAUUUUGGCAGAGCUCUCAUGCGCUUCCACUCCAUGAAGAUGGAGGAAAUCAACAAAAUAGUCAGGGAAUUGUGGCAGCAAACCUAUAGGGGACAGGAUAUAGAUUACAUAAGGAUACAUUCUGAUCCUGAAGGUUCUGGGACUCGUUCGUACAGCUACAAGGUUUGCCAUACAUGCUGAGUUACUGUUUGAUUCUCGAAAAUAGAAUAACAAUCUGAAUAAUUCCGAAAUGCAAAAUUAUAGGUACUCAUGCAGACCGGUGAUACAGAGCUUGAAAUGAGAGGAAGGUGCAGCGCUGGGCAGAAGGUAUGUGGAUUUAACUGUAAUAGUGGUGGAGGUUGAUGGAAUUCUGAAAAAAAGAAAUGAAUUUGAUGUGAUAUGAUGACAGGUUCUUGCAUCACUCAUAAUUCGAUUAGCGUUAGCGGAAACGUUCUGCCUCAACUGUGGAAUACUAGCUCUAGAUGAACCUACAACAAACUUGGACGGGCCAAAUGCAGAGAGUCUGGCUGCUGCUUUGCUAAGGUAAAAAAAAGUAAGACAUAAAAAUAUGAGAAACAGAAGGUUCAAUCUUAGUUUUGCUUGAUCUCAUGGGAUUUCUUUUUGUUGCAGAAUAAUGAAUGACAGGAAGGGGCAGGAGAACUUCCAGCUGAUUGUAAUAACUCAUGAUGAGCGUUUUGCUCAGAUGAUUGGGCAGCGCCAGCAUGCUGAACGAUAUUAUAGAAUCUCAAAAGAUGACCAGUAAGUGAAACUGCAUCUUCUUCCACUGUCAUUCAGAAUCUAUUCCUGAUUUCCUAGUUCAUAUCUUUUCUUUCUUUCUCCUCAGUCCUUGUGUUUUUAUUCUGUGUUUUUUUGUUGGGUCUUCAGCCAACACAGCAUAAUCGAAGCUCAAGCGAUCUUCGAUUGAGGUGGUUUUCUAUCUCAUGCUUUGUAGUAGAAGGUGAAGUCAAGACUGUUAAAUAGUGACGAUAGGGGUCUACUCUUGUUUUUGUGUGGCUAUGGGCUUAGCUUGUAUCAACAUCGACCUUCUAAGUCCUAUAAAAUUAUGUAUCAACUUUAUUUCAUUCCGCACAAUACAAAUUGGAGAUUUCAUUUACCCUCUCAGCAGAUUUCAUUUGUCCCACCCCCCAAAUACCUACCAUAUAUCUAUCCAGUCCGAGUCAACUUACGUGUUUGACAGGGAAAAAUUCUAUCGAAGCCAUAUCAGAAUUAUUGGAAAAUUAAAAUUUUGGCGUAAAAAUUAUUGAAAAUUAAAUUUUUAUGUUAAAGAUAUUAAUUGAUUUUUCAUAUAAAGGAUAUUAAUUGAAUAGGAAAAUUAAGGGAAAAAGAAAAAGAAAAGGCCUGACAAACCUUUAUAUGAAUUUACCAAAAUGCCCUUUCCACAGAAUUCUACUCACUUCAGCCUGUUUUAAUGAAUUACAUGGAGAAUUUAUACCGAAAUUAAUUCCUGUUUGGAAUGUAAUAUUCAAUUUUUAAAAAUAAAUUAAUUGGAAUUACAAAUUAUGUUUGGUAUACUAUUCAUAAUUGAAUUAAAUUAAGAGAAAUAACUCCGAUAGAAACAUGCACCCGGUACAAACGCUACGUGACGAUUUCUGACCUGCUCUUCUAAUUGUAUGCCAUUGAAACCUUUAAUUUUUGAUUAAUUAACAACAUCAUCACCCGAAAAUAUAGCCAUGUUGCCGGGAUGACGUUUAGCAAAACAAUAGUAAGAAUGGUUAAUGAACAAAGAAAUUAUUAUGGUACCAUGGGAGAAAAACAAAAUCUAAAUUCAAAGUCAUCAGCUUUCUUUCCUGCAGAAGCAGAAUAGUAAGUGAGGUACCAUCGAGCGAAGUUCUUCAACCCUGAUUGCAGAUCCGUGGUGGGAUUACAUCCAAGCUCACUGUGAGCCAAACUUAUACUAGCAUGUGUAAACUGUAACAUCCCCAUUCCUCAGGCAACCUCAUUACAUUCUUCUUGGCCUUAAACCUUCUUCAAAAGAAACUGAUAUGGGAUUAAACAUAGUUUAGAUUAUAUUUAACAAUCCGUUCAAAAAUCAGACUAAAUUUAAAUACUCGGCCUUAUAAAAAAGGAGAAAAUAUGAAAAGAGCGUACUGGGUCCUACCCAGGGUUAAGGAGGUUACUGGGUGAAGUCUUCUGGGUAGUCAAAUAGUUGGUGGCGAGGGUUGGUAAGUUAGAAGUUGGUUUGAUUAGGUGGGUCUAAAAUAAAACAAGACAAAGUAUCUAAAUUACACAAUAUACACCCCGAUUGUUAGUAUUUGAAACAUUGAGGACACAUCGAUUUUGUGAAAUUACGGGAUGAUUUUGUACAAAAUUAAAAUGUAUGGGACUACUAAUUUCUAAUUAACCAAGAUUUAACUGAGCUUAACACCGUCAAUCUCUUUUACCCGCGACAAGUGGGAAUCACGGCGUCCCGUUUCCCUCCGUAUUUUAAUAUUAUUUUUCUCCACCAAAACAAAAAAGUCAGAUCCACCAACCCCUACCAGAACCCAGCCGAUUUAUACGACGCCGUAAGAAGCAGCGACACUUAGAUCCAAUCUGAACCGUCCAUCAUCGCCCACCCUCCUCUUUAUAAAUCCCUACUUCCCACUCUUCACCUCUGUCUCUCGCUCACUGCUUCUUAUCCCUCUUCUCCCUCAUUUCUCAGAUCCCAAAUCGCCGGUAGUCGUUUUUGUCGCUAGAAUGGCUCUCAUCGUCGACAAAACCACCACCGGCCGUGAGUACAAGGUCAAGGACAUGUCCCAGGCCGACUUCGGCCGCCUCGAGCUCGAGCUUGCCGAGGUUGAGAUGCCUGGUCUCAUGUCCUGCCGUACCGAGUUCGGCCCGUCGCAGCCGUUUAAGGGUGCCAGGAUCACCGGAUCCCUCCACAUGACCAUCCAGACCGCUGUCCUGAUCGAGACCCUCACCGCCUUGGGAGCUGAGGUCCGUUGGUGUUCGUGCAACAUCUUCAGCACCCAGGACCACGCUGCCGCCGCCAUCGCCCGUGACUCCGCCGCUCGUCUCUGACUCCGCCGCUGUCUUCGCCUGGAAGGGAGAGACCCUCCAGGAGUACUGGUGGUGUACCGAGAGGGCUCUCGACUGGGGUCCGGAUGGCGGCCCUGAUCUGAUUGUCGACGAUGGAGGUGAUGCCACUCUCUUGAUCCACGAGGGUGUCAAGGCCGAGGAGGAGUAUGAGAAGUCUGGAAAGGUCCCAGACCCUGCUUCCACCGACAACGCCGAGUUCCAGAUUGUUCUCACCAUCAUCAGGGACGGUUUGAAGACUGACCCCAAGAAGUACCGCAAGAUGAGGGACAGAUUGGUUGGCGUUUCUGAGGAGACCACCACUGGUGUCAAGAGGCUCUACCAGAUGCAAGAGAAUGGAACACUUCUCUUCCCUGCUAUCAAUGUCAACGACUCUGUCACCAAGAGCAAGGUAUUCAACUCUUACUCGUUCAGAUCUGUGUUUCCUUCAAUUAGAUCUGUCAGAUCUGCUAUAUUGUUGUGCUUCCAUAUCGAACACGGAAAUGUAAUCUGAAAUAAAAAAAAAGUAGUCUAGCUAGAUACGGUUGACUUGCCUUUGUUAGAAUGACUACAGUGGGACGGUUUACUUUUCAGAUCUAUCAACGUCCCACAUUGUAUAUAAGAUUAUUUAUUACUCGGCGUGCUGAAUGAUUCAAUUGAUUGAUGGUGUAGUAUCUUAGUUUAGUGUGCCUCUAGGGCUCUAGCAGAUGCAUUAUUGGCUAAGGGUUUUAUAUAGCUAAUUCUUCGUGUAAAUUUCCUCAUUUUGCAGUUCGAUAACUUGUAUGGUUGCCGUCACUCCCUCCCCGAUGGUCUGAUGAGGGCUACUGAUGUUAUGAUUGCCGGAAAGGUUGCUGUUGUUUUGGGAUAUGGUGAUGUUGGAAAGGGAUGUGCUGCUGCCAUGAAGCAGGCUGGAGCUCGCGUCAUUGUGACCGAGAUUGAUCCCAUCUGUGCCCUUCAGGCUCUUAUGGAAGGUCUCCAGGUGUUGACCCUUGAGGAUUGCGUUGCUGAGGCUGACAUCUUCGUCACCACUACUGGAAACAAGGACAUCAUCAUGGUUGACGACAUGAGGAAGAUGAAGAACAACGCCAUUGUAUGCAACAUCGGUCACUUUGACAAUGAGAUUGACAUGAAUGGUCUUGAGACCUUCCCUGGAGUGAAGCGCAUCACCAUAAAGCCCCAGACCGACAGGUGGGUGUUCCCAGACACCAAGAGCGGCAUCAUUGUGUUGGCAGAGGGACGUCUCAUGAAUUUGGGAUGUGCAACUGGUCACCCCAGCUUUGUGAUGUCCUGCUCCUUCACCAACCAGGUGAUUGCUCAGCUUGAGCUCUGGAACGAGAGAUCCAGUGGCAAGUAUGAGAAGAAGGUGUACGUUCUGCCCAAGCACCUUGACGAGAAGGUGGCUUUGCUCCAUCUUGGAAAGCUUGGAGCUAGGCUCACAAAGUUGUCCAAGGACCAGGCUGACUACAUCAGCGUUCCAGUUGAGGGUCCUUACAAGCCUGCUCACUACAGGUACUGAGCAAACGAAGUUAUAAGGGGAUUGGAGUGGAAGAAGAACCAGAUUUGCUUUUGGUGGAAAAUGCGGCGAUCCGUUGGUUUGUUUUCCAUUUGUGUUAGAAUGUGUUUAGGUUUUGGUUUUAAUGUUGAUGGUGUUAUGGUCUGGGAAGGGAAGGGUGAGAGGGCUUUCGGGGGAAUGGAUGAAUAAGGGCAUCUGGGAAUGGGGGUUGUGUCUGACAGAAUUCUUUUGGUUUUAUUUUCGCGAAUUUGGAUUUUCUGCCAUGCUGCCUGAGGCGCUGGCUUUAUCAUAUAAAAUUUUAGAAUGAAAAUGAAGAGUUGUUUGCCUUCAUAUGCUCUCUGCUGCCUUGCUUGGUUCUCUUUCAUUUCUCGCUGCUCCUUUUUUACUUAUUUCAACAUCAUUACACUGCCGUUGUUGAGUCGAGUUUUGCAAAGCUCAUCUCGGCUCGUUGGUUUGUAAUAGCAGCCCGAGCUUGAAGUUCACUAACUCAUGAGCUAGUUCACUAAUCGAGCCAACUAAAGAGCCAUAAUUGAGCCAUCACUUGAGCCAAUUUUUCAGUCUUAUUGUAAUUGAGCCUCAAAUGAACUUGCUUAAGAAGCAAGUUCAUCAAGCUGCGUUUGGCUCGCGAGCAAGCUUGUUUAUGAUCGAGACUCAUUUUCGAGUUUUAGUACUGGGUAAUAGAGUCGAGGGCCAGCUUGUUUAAGAUCGAUGCGAGUCUUGAUUGAACUUGUUUCGAGCCUUCCUAAUGAACAUAAAUCUAUUAGUGGGUAGGUGAAACUCUUUCAAGUUUAUCGUCGACAGCAAUAAUCAAUGCUUUUGCCUUGGGUGCUUGCACAAGAUGGUAAACGGAUGGCUACAAAGUGUAAGGAUCGAUCUCACAACCUCAUACUUAAGGGAUAAAGUGACUAACCAACAAUGCCACAUUUUAUGAUUACUAAUAGCAUUUUAAUAAAUCAACAAAUAAAUGAUUAGUCAAUUUCUUCCGUAAAAAGUGAUUUAUGUUUUCUGAUAACUCUCGAGGAACAAAAAAUUAAAAUUGACAAAUCAUCCUAGAUAACAUAAUAUGGGGUCUUUGGGAUCGGGAGAGCUGUCACAAAGAUUGAGAUCUCUAAAGAUGCUGUUUUCUUUUUAAAAAAUUUUAAUUUAUAACUACUAGAGUAAUCACGGGUUUACUACUUGAUUAAUGCGUUUUAAUUUUUUAUGUAUUUUUUUAAUGAACAUCUCAUUAUUCAUAAAAAAAACUCAGUACAACAACCAUCCAGCAAACCACAGGGUGGCGAUAUCUAAAUAUCUAAUUUGUCUCGGAACUGCAGUGCAGUUACCUAUAAUUAGACCAAAUCUUGUCUAGCCAAAGAUAAUUACCAUCCAUAUUCUGAGAGGAAUUUUGGGGCAAGCAGGUCUAGGCAUUUCAUCAAUCGUUUCCAGCCCCAAGAUUUGGUUUGAGGAGGGCAAUGAACCAAAAAAUCAUCCCCUUUCAGACGGUGAGCAUUGAUCCAGACCACCCACAGACUCCCACUGCAAAGGAGAAUCAAUCUUCCAGAUAUGUUUAGCUGCACAAGCAAGAUUCAACCAUUUGAGGAGGAUAAUAAUACCAGCACCGCCUUCUUCGUAAGAGGGGAGGACGACAGAUGGUCACCAAUGUUGCAAUUACCACCAGCCAAGUGGCCACGAGACAGCCGAAUGCCAUGUCUUUCUAGGCAAAGUGCAAACCUUACUGGAGAGCACAAAGACAUUCGAUGAAGGAAGUGAACGGCCUCGCGAGACAAGUGCUCGGACCUCUAUAAGAUCAAGCUUAGUUGAGACACCCCACAAUUUUCUUAUAUUGUUUGUACUAAACCCAAGCUUAGUUGAGACACCCCAAAGUCUAGUAGCACCCUCGCUCCCAGGUACAAACGCUGUUAAAAUAGUAAAAAACACAAGGGUGUAGCAGACUUCCUUGUCGGAAUGGAGUAACAUAGCGGUUUCUUUCGACCCAAGACAGUCCUCAUCAAUGAAGUAGUAUAUUACGAGCCUUGAAGCAGAAACCGACUAAACUACUUGACAGCCAAGAAAACCCGGCGAAGAUGACUAAAUUUGGGCGAAGGGUGGCUAGUGACAGACUUAAUCCUGCAUCCGUCACGAACCACGGCAUAUGUUGGUUUAGCGGAACACUUUGGACAGGACAAGCCAUAGCUGGUUUGAGACCCAGAAACAGAAAUUGCUUUUGAUACAGUGUGUGAUUUCAUUUAUACUCCAAUUACGAGGACAACAUAGAGCGACGCAAAUUGAAAGAGGGAAUAAUGACAAGUCAAAAUCUAACUUCAAAUCUAACCAACCUGGAGUGGAAAUAAGAAAGGGCAGAUCUGCCAAAAACACACUUCACUUUCAACAUCCCAAUCAAAAUGCAGGGAAGAAAUUGGGAUUCACAUCACAGUGCACUAAUUUACUCAUAGGCGAUUUGAUUGAUUGAUCAAUCAAUCGUUAAAGUCUUUGAUAUCUCUAGCGCACCUGGUGAUGACCUCACAACCCCGGCUGUAAGUGUUAGCCGGUCGAGAAUGAUGACAAUCGUAGUAGGAAGCACCUGGAUUGUCGCAAGGGACUAUAUCCCUCUUCAGUGUUGCGUAGCUUAUGUAUCUCCUCUGCAUCAUCAGCAUCCUCCUACUGAUCUCCGACUCCAUCUCCACUGGCUCUUCUUCGCCCGGGUAAAAUGCGCCAACUUCAACUGAGGAGAACCCAUUACAAAUUGGGGGAUUGGGGUGCAAGAGAAUGAGAGACAAGAAGAGAAUUUGGAGGAAAGUGAAGGGCUUUAGCAGCAUUUUAUUUGCUUGAGCUGAGGGAGAGUAAAGUUGCUUCCUUCCCUCUCUCACUACUCAGGGUUGUUGGUUAUUUUAGUCUCGUGAGUUUGGAACUUGGAGGUGUGUGAGAUUUCAAUGGUGGGUGGUGGUAGGGAGGGGGUGGGGGCGCGAAAUUGCUAAUGAUCCAGGAGGUUCAAUCUCUUAGAUUGUGUAGAUAAAGAUCCAACGGUUUAAAAUUAAUUUUGCUAAUUUUAAUCUAACGGUUACAAUUUUAUCAGGGUAUAACAAAAAUUUAUAAAUAUUUUCUCUCUUUCAGUUUUUCUUUCUUUAUUCUCUCUAUUCUUCUCACAUAAACUGGAUAUAAUAAUGACAAAAUAAUGAUGUAAUAAUGACAUAACGUUGACAUAAUAAAAACGCAUAACAAACUCGUAAAGUGUAUAUAUCACCAACAUAUAAGAGUGGUAAACUAGACAUAACGAUGAUGAAUUGAACUACUCGCAAGGUGAAAGUAACAACGACAUAACGAGCCUGUAAUGUGAUCGUAUUAGUGACAUAACAUGCUCGUACAACGACCACACCUAUGUAAUUUUUUUUCAAUUUUUUGGUUCCAAAACUACCCCAUUCAAGUCAAUUCAUUUGGCUUAUUUUCAACUAUUGGAUGAAAUUUGACCAAAAAAUCGUAUAAUCCAACGAUCAAAAUCUGUCGGGACCUCUGAAUCAAUUUCUCGAAUCAUUAAUCUGGUCUGUGGGGUAAUGUUCAUUACUUAUUAGGUGGCGAAUGGUGACAGCUGACAAAGACAAAACAAGGUGGGAGUGAAAAAUGGCGACUUUGUUUACUACUUGGCUGCUGUGGAACUGUGCUUUUAUUUUGGGUUGGUUAGCACUUAUUAUGACAGAUAACACUUCAAAUGCAGGGGUAAUCAUUCUUUUUUUUCCCCCUCUUCUUCGUCAAAAUUAUUGACUAUUGAUGGCCAUGUCUCAACGUAGGCGUUAAGCCUGAGAACUCUUUAUUUACAAGCUUUAGGCACCACUUGUAUGUAUGAUUACAACCCAUGUGGGUGGGGGUUAGAAUUAGUAGAGUUGAUUAAGUUGGGUAACACCUUUUUUUAAGUAAUUUAAUUAUAGUUUUCGGGUUACAUAACAUUAGAGACUAUUUGGAAUGUGCGAUUGGUCAUUCCAGCUUUGUGAUGUCCUGUGUGGAAGGUGGUUGGGUUGUGUCUGAUAAAAUUUUGUUUGGUAUUUGUUUUUGCAAUUUUGGAUUUUAUAUAAUCAUAAUUUUCGGUUAUAUAUAACAUUCUAUAAAUUAGUUUGAUUAUAUAUUAAAAUUCACAAUUUAAUUGAAAUAAUAAAUUGGUUUGAUUACAGAUGGAUUUGGAUAAUAUGGAUAUAUUCUCUUUGUUUUAUAAAUAGAGUGUAGUAUGUUAUUAUAUAUAUGAACGGUUUUAUAUAUAAAAAUAAAGAAAAAAACUUAUAAAUCCGGAUAGAGUUAAGAAGAUGAGAAAAUAACAAUAAACUUGAGCCCGUGAGUUGUAUUUUUCUAUUACAAAAAAAUGAUCUUUCUAGUCUGUAUCUUUUGGUGUGGAAUAAUUUUUUUUUUAAUAAGGAAUUUCAUUCCAUAACGAUGGAUAUACAAGCAGGAUAGAUUAUAAAUAUAUAGCAACAUUAAUCCGGAAGUUCUUCUCAGAUAUAAGGAAUGAUCUCCGUAUGAAUUACGAGAUCACCUCUAGGACGCCUUCGGCAUCAUGUUGUCCGGGAGAGAAUGGGCUCGAGUAAAUUUAGCCACCCAAUCAACAAUUCGGUUAUCUUUGCGGGGUAAAGGCUACUCGAAUCUAAGAGAAGUUGAACAUUGGGAUAAUUAUGGACUCCUGAAUAACAACACAUUCCACGAUUUAGGGACGAUGUAGUUAAUGAUUUAACCAAAAUAAUACAAUCCGGAAAAAUGAUUUAACCAAAAUGAUUUAUUAUUCCUACAAAAUACUCCUUGAAUUUAAUUUCAUUAUAUUUGUAUUCUUGAUUUGAAUUAUGAGUUUAAUAUUUUAUAUUCAUCGGUUCAUUAUUAGUAAUAAUUAUAGUCUGAAUAUUUUAUUGGAUUGGGUUAGGUAUUGUUUUUAUUGGGUUCCAAAUCAUAAAAAAAAUCGAUUUGUUAAUCAAACUAAAUCAUGCCUAGCUACUAACCAUUAAAUACAAGUUAGUCUGGUUUGAUUAGUACGGUUGUUUUUUUGCGUAAUUUUAAGAAAUUAUAGGAUCGUAUUUCCAAGCCAGCCCUGCCAAGUUUUUGCAGUGAAGAGUGGACGACCAAGAAACCCUUCCAGGCGACACAAUUCUUUAGAAUCGGAAAGGAAUUCCUCUCCUCGUCGAUACAAAGCUAUAACCAAAAAACAAAAUCAUGGGAAAGAUCCCGGAGGACUUGCAAAUGUAUGUUGCCUAGCUACAUGCGAAAUUUGGUGGUGAUUUGUCUCCAAUGUUCCAGUAGUAAAUCAACAUCAACCACCUGUUCUUGUGUUCUACCAACCAUAACCAUGUGCACAUAUCCAAGGCUGACUUUACUUGAAGAGAUCUGGGUUUAACCAGUCCCUGAAAUAGGUGGACAAUUUGAAAAAGGCAAUACAAGUCAAUUACACCACGCGUGAAAGGAAGCGGAUAGAGUUUCAAAUCUCUCCAGUUGGUGUGAAUGGGGACUUAUGAUGCAUUUUGCAACUUACUUUGUUAUAUCGUCAAGGUGAUCAUCGAAAUCCAUCACGUCGUGCCACUUCUCAGAUGAUAUGUAGUCUAGUAAUAUGGUAUUUGCAGCUGGCUCCUUAAAUACCAAAUUACUGCUUCCAUCUGGCCCAGCUAGCUUCCAGUUCUUGUACGAAUCCUUUGUAUAGAGCUAGUAUGAGAAAGGAAAAAACAUUCAGUUGCCAGGCAAAACUUUUAGCAAGAGCCAUGCAUAGUUAAUGAAACAACGGAGAGCUGGCCAGACAUGCACCAAAUGGUUAGACCGACAAACAACAAUUGGCAGUGACGAAAGUUUGUACCAGUGCAUUCCUGUUAUCAACUUGCAUUAAGGUAGUAAGAAGAUGGGACAACUUUACGAAAUCAGAACUUUUCAAAGUUUAUCAUUUGUGUAGCACCUGAGGGCCAUCUGUCAAAUUUAACAAUCGAAGACCAACUUAGAGAUCCUAUAACUUGGAUCUCACACAUCAUUCAAAACAGUUGUUUUACUUAAAGAUGCAAUCUUCUCUGUAACAAUGCAGGAACCAGAAACCAAAUCCUCGGUACAAUUUCAAUUCAAAUGCUGCCAGUGAUAUUCAGUAUUGUGGCCACCAAUGAAUCAAAAGAAGCUUACUACCUUCUAAAGGCAGUCAUACAUCAUAAUUCAUAAGCUGACACCCUACGACAAGCAGGAGAGACGCAGCUCUUACAAGCUUCGCGAAAAUUCAUAAUCAAUAACCGCAUCUAAUCGAAAGAAUGCAUUAGCGGAAAGCUGAUCCAUUUACAUAUUACAAGUUUACAACAGAAAUAGGGCACAAGAAUGAACCUGCACAACAGGGCUGCGACCUUUCCCCUUUGGUAAUGCUUCAAGCUUCUUGUUAUCUAGCUACAGAGAAAAUCGAGAGCAAACUGAGAUUCGAAGCUUAACCGAAUAUAUUAGAAACAUAAUCGUACAGAACAUAUUGACCCACCAAAAGAAGAGCUGCUUGAGGAAAAUAGCGAUAGAUGUGAUCAGCAAUGUUCUUAGCCAUGUUACCAAGCUCAGACUCCUCAAACCUCUCAUUGGCGUGGAAAUACCCAACAAUUGCAAGACCUCGUGCACUAUAGUGUUCCUCUAUCUGUGAGCAGAACGAAUCAGAACUCUAAACCAAUUAGUGACGCCGUUAAAUCCGUAAUACUUCCCGAAUUGUUAGCGCAAACAGUUGAAUUUCAAACUUAUCGCCAAUGCAAAAUAGCGACAGAUAUAAAAACAGAACCCUAGAUCGAGAUUCCGUCCAAUUGAGGUAAGAAGUGAAAGGAGUAGGCGGUAGACGACGAAGAACAUACCAUGAUGAGGGAGAUCUCGAGGGGAGGGAGGAGGCCGAGGUGGUUAUGGAAGAGAGGAACGGAAUCUUCGAUCUCAACGAGGUUUUCGUUGAGAGGAGAAGUCCGGCCGAGCAAGACACCGUUGACGGCUGAGGUAUUAUGCUUGAGAGCGUGGAGAACGAGCUUGAUGUAGGCAUUCUGAGACAUCUCAUAUUUCAGCUCCCCGCCGUCGACCAUGUUUACUGCCGCUGUAAUAAUUGACGGUUGAUUAUGCUGGUUGCUCUUUCUUCCUGCAAUAUUUCCGUAUGAGGGGCGCCGGCCGACUGCAGCUGCCUCGGUGCGUAGUGAUAGACGAGAAAAGUGCGUUGACCGAAGAGUCGAUUUGGAUUUUGGACUCCGUGGGGUUCUCCGGCUAAAAAGUAUAAAAGGUACCGUUAAAUAAUGUUUCGAUACCAUAACUUUAAUGAAUGACUAAAAAACGCACUAACUUUUGAAAACAAACCCCUAAUAUUUGAAUUCUAUAAAUAAAAUUACGGGAAUGUCCUUUAAAUUUAAUAUUUAAAUAUAUACAAUUUAACUAAAAAAAAAAUUAUGACCUAAUUCGUGCCGUCCUGUUGCCGUCGCCGACGCUACUUCCGCCAUAGAAAAAAAGAAGGAGGUGGCGUAGGUGAAUGACGUCGACAGUAAUAAUAUUGGCGUCAUCGGCACCCUUUUUUAAUUAUUAAGUAUUUUAAUAUUUAACCAAUUAUUUUAAUACUCUAAUAUUAAUUAUUAAAUUAUAAUUGGUAUACUAUUCUAUUAUUGAUCGUCGAAAUAACUUCACAGUUAAUUCGACAACUCAAGUGUCGUAUGUGUCGCAUUAUCAAUAGUUAUCGAAAGUGAAUAUAUUCUUUAAGGUUAACAUUCUGAUACUCUUAAAGUAUCGGUAUUCCGUAUAUGUGGUGUGACACCCCGAACUAAACCAAUUUCACCCAUAAUAGUAGAAUUAAGCUAACUCCCUUCCCACAUUACAUAAAAUGAGGCAUUAUCUUCAUUACAUGAAAAGUAGAACCAAAUGUGUUCACGUUAAUUAGCUCCUUCAUGGAUGCUUACUUGGACCAUGCCUAAAUCGCUAACCACUAAACCCUAAAUCCUAUCUCUAAAUUCUAAAUCACAACCGCUACACCCUAAACCCUAUCUUUAACCCUUAAACCAUAAACCAUAAACUCUCUGAACCCUAUCUCUAAACCUUAAACCAUUAAACUAGUUGGACCGUCCGAAUUGAUUGUUGAUCAAAUUACGUGGUUCAUGCACGAAGCAUGCAUGCAAUGUGAAGUAAUGCAUGCAAUGUGGUUCAAUGCAAUUAAGUUAGUGUUCAGAGGUUAGGAUUAAAGGGUUAGUGUUAGGGUUUAGGAUUUAGAAUUUAGGCAUGGUCCGAGUAUGCAUCUAUAAAGGAGCUGAUUCACAUGAAUAUAUUUGGUGCUACCUACUUACCUAUUUCACAUGGUUGGAAGACAAUGUCUCCUUUCAUGUAACGUUAAAAGGAAAUUAGUUUAGUAUUAUUACAGACAAUUAAUGAAAUGAAUAUAGUAACACUCAUCCAAUUAACAAUUACUAUAAUUAAAUAAAUAAUAAUUAAAAUAUAACAAUUCAUCUAUUAUAUAUUUUCACUACUUAGUACUUAAUUACUAUAUUAGAAUAAUAUACUAAUUAUAAUUUGAUAAUUGGUAAGUAAUACAAUCAUAUUUGAAUUGUAUGCUAAUUAUAAUUGAAAAAAACUUCGGUACUCACGACUUAUUGAAUAAUCCUACUUUUAGAAUUUGAUCUUAGCAGUUUAUUUUAAGAUUAAAUCUCAGUGGUUCGAUUUUUUAAUUUCUAAAUUUAAAUUAUUCCCUACAAGAAAUUCAUUAAGGACUUCUUGACUUAAUUCCAAUUAAUAUGUCGCAUCGUUAAAUUUUUUUUAUCACGUUGGUAAGCGGACAUGGUAAAUUGUUAUUUAAACAUCUAUCUUUAAUAUUUCACUUAUUGGCCACUAUAAUUUUAAAAAUUGGAAAUUCAUGCUCCUGGACGUAAUGUUAUCCUUCUAAGACGGCCUCUGAUCCGACUCCACCGAUCGAAAUAGCCUCCUCUACGUCGUUAGAACCGUUAACGGGUGAUUUAGUUGCCCUCCAAAUCCAGAACCUACACUUCGAUGUAGAGAUUGACGGUCGAAUGCCAACUAAAUCUCCAAGGAGGGACAACUUUUCACCAGGUUUCAAAUUACAGGCGAGUCUGCUCGAUACGCCUAGCUUCAUAGAGCUUCCAUCUUGUGGAGUUCCAGUCGACUCCACUGCAGACGAAGAAGGCCGACUACCCCGUUUGUUUGAUUUGUUUCUUGUUAGUCUCGAUUAAAUUGAGUUUGUUUUCGUAUGUGUUAGUUUUCUUUUAGUUUGGUUAGACUUUCUUGGUUGUUAGUGUGUCUGGGGUAAAAGUUACUUUUGGUGUUUUCACUUUAUUUUGCUGUUAGAAACGGUCAUGGUUACGAAGUCUUUAAGGCUACAAAAUACUUUAACGGCUCAAGUUAUUGACUUUUUCUUGUUUUCUAAUUAAAAAAAAAACAUUUUAUAAGAAACCAAUGUACUCAAAGAUAUUUAUCUUGCUCUAUUAAUAAAAAAAUCAUCUUUGAUGAGUCGAAAAAAAUGAAGUCCUUGUUCACCACGUCAUCUCAGCUCGGCUCUCUGCUCCUUUUUCUUCGCCGCCGGAACACUCUUUCAUUUUACCCUCAACUUUUUUUGGUAAAUAUUGUUUUUGGUAAAUUUUACCCUCAACUUCAAGAUGACAAAAAGGACAUGUUCUGUAGACUCAAUCCCACAGGCCCUUUGGGAUUAUAGUUCCUGCACCCUGGACUUUGGAGUAGUAGUAGUUGUAGGAUUCAUCGUUUGGUUGUUUGACUUUCUUUCAUCAAAUCAUCAUCAUGUUCAGAAUUUCAAUGGGAGCAUCAUACUGAAAAGACUUCUACAUGAUGUAUAGAGAGAAGAUGUUGGAGAGAAAAUGGCUUGGACAUUCUGAGUAUUUUGCCAGCCUCUUUUAACAGUUGUUGUAACAAACAUUUAAUAAGAGAACUUUUUCCUGGACUUAUCAAUUAUCAUAGUAAAUAAAAGAUCUUAAGAAAGAAUUAUAUCAUUCUGGUUGAAGUCAGUUUGUUUCCUCAAUCUCCUGGGCAUGCUUUUUGCAUUCUGAUAUCUUUCCUUUGCUAUGCUCCAAUUCUUGAUUCACAUCUCUGCUUUUCAAGUACAGAGUACCAUGAUGGAGCUGUACGUAUUCUAGGAAACAUGGAUUCCACCAUUGAUGGCCUGGAUGAUUUCAAAUGAUAAGGUCGUGGAACUUUAUAUAUGAAUCUGUACAGAUAUUUCCUUUUGCAUAAAACAAAACUCCCAACACUGAAGAUGUCAUUUUUCAGGCAUGUUCAGGUAGUCUACUAAUACUCUACUCUUUUCUUUCAGGCUGGCUGCAAUAAUUCUCAGACAGCACUUGAAGACAUAGAGGAUUCAACCUCUUCUGUACUCUCUUCAGGAGUUGGUUCCAGUUCUGUCUUUGGUUUAGACACUGGUAACGCCUGCUUCUGCUGUGUGUUGCUCAAAAUCUCUUUUUUCGUCUCCUUCAAGUUGAGCGAUGCGUAAACUGACAUCCCCCCAAGUGCUACCACUGCUCCACAUAUGCUUAUAAACCCGGGAUCCGAUUCGAACAGCAAGUAUCCACCUAGCAAGAUCAUACAUGUCUUGAACUGUCCUAAUACUACAUGAGAAGUUGCCGAUGUUGCCCUGCAAUACAAAUGUUGUUACAUUAUUACUUCACAAAGUCUGCCUCGUGUGAUAGUAGAAAUAGGGCAGAAGCCUCACCCAAGAGCUAAAGCACCAGACCAUUGGAGGAGAAAUCCAAGCAGAGCUGACAUAAGAACAGCAGAUGAGUUUUGGAGAUCCCACUUGAACAACAGAGCUCCAGGUGGGUCCAGCCAUGGCAUUAGAGCUAGUAGGAACAGAACUGUGACUGGUGUUGUCUUCCACAUCAACCUGCAAUCCCAGUAAAACAAUUCCCGAUGAUGAAUUCAGGAAAGGCACAAGAUUAUGGGAAAGGGAUUGGAACGGUUCUGUAUUAUUACGCAAGGGCAGUCCAGUUUGCUUGCUGUUGGAGACUAGACCAUAAAAUCUUGUUGAUAGCACUUGGAAUUAUCCAGGCAAUGGCAAUACAAGCACCAAAGAAAUUAAACUGUAAAUCAGUGACUUGUGCAAGUGCCACACCUGCUGAGACAACACCCAGAGCCACAACCUGAAACAACACCAAAAAUAAAAAUAAAAAUAAAAAUAAAAAGGCAGCUUCUUGUUUCAGCCAGUUGAAUAGUUAAACAUUUUCUUGACUCGGUGAAGCUACCACCUUGUUAUGAGAGAUGGUUUUUCUGAAGAGAAUGAAUUCCGCAAAAACAAUGGUUGGGGUGACUGCAAUCUUAGCCAUCUGAUAGAACCCAAUGCUGCAAUUCAGAGAUGAGCACCACUCACUACUGUCAUGAUGGGUAAACAAAUAACAUAUGGAGAAGAGUUAAGCUUGAUCAUCAGCCUUUGUUGAAUACCUGUUAUGAUUGAGACUGGCAUUGGCAAGCCCAGAAGCAAAAGACAUGACAACCCCCAAGGAGAAGAGGGAAGUGUAAGGAGUUGCCUUAGUUGGAGGAGACACUGGGAGUAAAGCCAGUGACUUGAAUAUUGCCAGCAACACCCAAGCUACUGAGUAAUGGAUCAGUGUCAGAAAGAUUGGGUAAUUGAAUCCAACUUUCACCAUUACCUAAAAAAAAUGUCAUACAAAUUUUUAGAAAACAAGGCAGAAAUCAACCAAUCAUCAAGCUUAAACAUUGUGAAUUCGACUGAAUGACUGACUUGACUGACUGACCAUUUUGUUAGUCAUGAUGAUCCCAAUCGAGACCACAAAAUUGAAAGUCAUGGCCACAACAGGUCCACAGAAUCUCUGCUGCUGCCUCUUGGCUCCUUCUGAGGUUCUAAGAUCAUUGUAUAGAGUCCCUCGCAGCUCUUCCAGAGCUCUACCUGGUGGUUGUUCAAGGACAUGAACAAUUUCCUUGACUUAAAUUCACAAAUUCAAAAUAAUAACUAUUUUCUUUAAAGAACAUUUAAAGUCCACAGCUACUUUAAAAAUCAUUGUAAACUACAGCUUAAAUUAAUAUAGUAGCAAUUAUGAAUGUUGUAAAUAAUGUUACGACAAUCAGGUUAGAGAGAGUCAGAAAACCCUCCAACCCAAAGCAGAUAGGUGAUUAAGAGGAAAUAAAUUAAAACAAAAAAAUGGAGAAUCGUUAUACUCCAAAACCGGCACAAACCCUUUCCAGAAAUUGGUUGGGGAAUUUCAACAAACACCUAGAGAUCAAUGGCGGGGAUACAUGAAAAAGAUCUCUGCUUUUGUUUCUCUCUCUCUCGAGCAAAUACUGCUAUAAACAGGAAAUGGCUAGAAAAGUGGCUGAACGAUACCAGAAAACUUUCUUCCUUGAGAGAAGGGUGGCAAAAAUGGAAUCAGGUUAGUAACACGUAGCUCAAAUCCAAAUGAAAUGCAGAAUGUAGGGAAAUGAGGAAAAGAAAACCUGUUUCUCCAGCAUCACUGUCUUUCCGCUUGAUGAAUCUCCUGCCUUCAUUUCCCAGCAAAGAAUCCAUCAACGCCAUUUUAUUAUACAGGGCAAUAAAUUAAAUUAAACAAGAUUCAAACCCAGAGGAAUGCAGGAUGCCCUUUUUUGUCCUUUUCCUCUGCUCUCGACUCGAGUGUUUAAAAAAAGAGUGAUUUCAAAUUCAAACCACCCUUGCCCAAUGAAGAAGAAGAAGGAGAAAAUGAUGAUGAUGUUGUAGAUGGGAUGGUUCGAGCAUGAAUUUAGUGAUGAAACCGAAUGAAGAAGAAUGUAUAACAAACAGAUUUAUGAAGGAGAAUAAUAAGUGGGGUGAAAUGGAGAAUGGAAGAGAAGAAAGAGGAGGAAGAGAAUGAAGAAGAAUAAGUGAGAGAGAAAUGGAGGCGAGGAAGAAUGAAAAUGGUGGCCCUUUGCUUUGCUUUGCUUUGCACAUAAACAACGUCUAUCUCUUCUCUCUUUAUUAUCGUACGCUGUGUUUUUGUUUUCUUGAUUUUUGUAUUUUGUCUUUAGUAAGUAACUUUC